CUCCACAUCUUCCAACUAUACUUCUACCAAUAUCUACCAAGUCUGGUGAAGCAUUGGCCCAAUUAUUAUUGUUAUCAAAAGUAAAGAUUUUCUUGGUAAAGAGUUCAAAACUGUUUUCCGAAUCUAGAGGUUGCAACACGUGUAUUGAGAAAUCCCCUCCUAUGUAUCUGCCUACAUUACUAUUUCGAGAGGUUAUAAUUAUCCUACUGCCAAUUUUUGAAUCACAUUCAGGAAGGACAAGUUUUAGAUCAUCCCAAAUUUCAACAUCCCAAAUGUCAUCUAAGAGAAUAACAUACCUUUUUAUUUUCAAGAGUGAUCGUAGGUUGUUCUCCAAGUUUUCUUUCCUUUCCUCUUCCAUCAGUCCAACUUGUUUGGCUAUGUCAUGUAAGAUUUCUCCCGCCCUUGGCUGUUGUGAAACAUAGACCAGUCCCGAACACUCAAAUUGAUCACGGACUUGCCUAUAAAGUUUCUUGGCAAGAGUUGUUUUUCCUAGACCGGGCAUGCCAACUAUUGAAACAACUCCAUAAGGCAAAUCAUGAUCAAGUAAUUUGGCUUGCAGCUUAUUGAAGUCAUCAUCCAAACCGAUGACCUCUGUUUCAUCAGCAUGAAGGAAUAAUCUUCUUUGGUCCAAUGGAAUGCAAUCAUCACUAUUGUUGUUACUUGUAUCCAUGAUGUUGUAAGUUGUCCUUACACGAUCAAUGUCAGCAACUCUUCUUUUUAUCUUCUCAAUCUCCAUAGCAAACUCAUCCGCAAAAGAAACCGUCUUAAGGCAACAAAUGAAAUUAUUGGAUUGUUGAAUUUUUGGAAGAAACUCAUCUAAUAGAUCCUCCACAUCACCUGCCAGUUGUUGAAUAUCUUUUAAUAAGUUUUUGACCCUUGAAUGGCCUCCAACUUCCUUGGCCUUUGCAUCGUCUACAUAUGAUCGAAUGUGUCUCAUUUCUCUGUGGAGCCAAUCUAUGUCCUCUUUUAACCAAUAUAAACGCGUUCCUUCUUGAAAGAGUACAUUUCCAGCUAUUUCUAUUGAUUUAUUGAUGACUGCUGUGAGAAGAAUUUCAGCCAUCUCUUUUUUCCUUAAAUUUCUUUUUUCUAAAUGUGAGGAUUAGCAAGGGAAAGUAAGAGAAAAUUAAAAGAUGAUCAAUUAUUGGUAAAAGGAUAAGAAAGAUGCAGUAUUUGCUUUAGGUGUUGGAGUCAACGGCCAAGUCUACUAAUAAUAAUGUCAAGUAGAUGAAAAAGAAAGAACAAAUGGACAGAAACAACUACUCCGUUCAUAUUAAAUACAAUAAUUCAUCUUUUCUUAAUCAUAUUAGCUGGUAUUUUGUUUUCAAGCAUGCAGGGGCGGACCCACCGUUACCCGAUGCCCUUCGUCGAAAAAUUACGAGGUCAAAUUUUGAUUUUAUAAAUAUAUAUAUAUAUACAAGUAUUAACACAUCUGGACACAAGUUAAAAGGUUUCGUGUAUUAAGGUGUUACGAAAGUUCCUUGAGGUAGUGUGUUUUUGUGCUAUUAGCCUCAAAUUAUAUUUUUUUAUUACAAUCAUUGACACCUUAAUGACAAUCUUUGGAUCCACGUUAAAAGUCAGACAAUUGAUGCAGUACUACGCGAAAAAUUCAAUGGCAAAGAUGAGUUCACACCGAAGCUUCUGGAAUCUCCUUCGUCCGAUUAUAUUUCAGUUCAUUAAAACAAGGGAUAAGGGCCUGAAAAAUAUUCCAACUUUGGUCGAAUUUGCUGUUACGAUACUAAACUUUCAUGAGGACCUAUUACCUCCCUAGACUAUUUAAUACCGUAUUUUAAACAUAUAUAUUUGCCCACGUGGACAUAAAAAAUAAUGCAAAAUUAUAAAUAGUAAUGUGUCCACGUGGACACAUAUAUACCUUUAAAAUACACUAUUAAAUAGUUCAGGGGGUAAAAAAUACGGUAUUAAAUAGUCUAGGGAGAUAAUAGGUCCUCAUAAAAGUUUAGUAUCGCAACAACAAAUCCGACCAAAGUUGGGGUAUUUUUCAGACCAUUGUCCCUUAAAACAAGGCAAAAAUACUCAUUACCCCCUUGAACUUGAAACUUUUUAUACGGUGUGCACCUAAACUAAAUUCCAUUUUAAUUAACUCCGAACUUGUUUAUUCCUCCAUCACGUACAUCUUUUUCGUCCACCUGCUCCUAUUGUGUAUUCCUCCAUUAUGUACACCUUUUUCGUCCACCCGGUCCUAUUGUGACUACACGCGCGCGACAGCUGGCAAAAGUGGUGAUGUGGAUUUCCACCUGGAUAUAUAAUAGCCACCUAGAUAAAUUAAUAUUGCAAAAAAUAAAUUUCCUAAAUUUAAAAUUCAUUGUUUAAAAGUUAUUUUUGAAUAAGGGUUGAUUUCGCGGAACUCCUUGAAUUUCAAAUUUGUCUGAAAUUCUUACCAAGUAAGUGUUAAUCUUUGUUUCCUUUACUUUUCAUUUACAUUUUCGUCGCGUACACCUUUUUUUUCCACUUACUCCUGUUGGGACUACACGCGCGCGACAGCUGUCUAAAUUGGUGAUGUGGAUUUCCACCUGGAUAAAUUAAUAUUACAAAAAAAAAUAUUCUUAAAUUUUAAAUUCAUCGUUUAAAAGUUAUUUUUGAAUAAGGGUUGAUUUCGCGGAACUCCUUGAAUUUCAAAUUUGUCUGAAAUUCUUACCAAGUAAGUGUUAAUCUUUGUUUCCUUUACUUUUCAUUUACAUUUUGCCCUAUUUUUCAUUUAAAAUAUGCCAAAUAUUAAACAAAAAUGGAGAUUUUACGUUGUUUUUUUUUACCGUUGUAGCUUUGUGAUGUGGCAAAAAAUCACUUCCUCACGCGCCUAGUAGAGUGUGUUGUCAAUUUCUACACCAGGUGGACGAAAAGGUGUACGCGACGGAGGAAUAAACAAGUUCGGGGGGGUAAUUAAAACGGAAUUUAGUUUAGGUGUACACCGUAUAAAAAGCUUCAAGUUCAGGGGGGGUAAUGAGUACUUUUGCCUUAAAACAAUUGUUAAAUCUUUAUUAUAUAUUUCAUUUUCAAACAAGAAUAAAGAAUUUUUAGAGUCGUCAGCCGAUUGAAGCAGUAUAUGAUUAUCCCACUAGAAUAUAUAUAUAUAUACGUGGCACUAUCUUGUGGGCCUAGCGCGUGUUGACAAUUUUUUCAAGGAUAGUGCCACGUAGGCCGAAAAGGGGUAGAAAAUUAUAUAUAAAAUAAAUUCAAGGGGGUAAUAGGACCUUAGUAAAAGUUAGGUGUGUCUCAGAGAUUUUGGGCAUAGAAUGGGGGUACUUAUGCAUUUUCCCUAUAUAUAUCACCAAAGAUCGACGACCUUGGCUAUAUUUAUAUUGGAAAAAUGUUAGAAAAUAUUUUAUAUAAAAUAUAACAUAUUGUUUAUAUAUAAAUAUAUUUGCAUACUAAGAUUGUUCGGUUCGAAAGGUUUUUGAUUUUAUUUUAAAAAUUAAAAAGUUCAUCCCAAUUGUUUGGCACAGUACACACUUAAACAAAAAUCCACGAUUUUAUUAAAUAUUUAUAUAAUAAAUCGGUUUGAUUCGAUUGCUUCAGUCGAUUUUUCAUGUUCUUAUGACACCCCUACAUACAAUCAUAUAUAUCAUACAAUCAUAUAUAUCGCACUUACCUAUUACUGAAAUGACUACUUUUUUAUUACUUCCUUUAAUACAUUUGCAAAAUCAAACCCAAGUGUAUGUAUCAUUGGCUCAUUACUAAUUGUCCACCAUUCUAUGCUACAUGAUUAACACAAUGUAUCACUUUUCUAUCUGUGUUCGUACUUCGUAGUUUGCACCAUGAACACAUAAAUCACAUAGGGAUAUUGAAAAUAUUGUCCACUGCCAGAGAUAUUUCGCUGCAUUGUACUUUUCAAAGAGCUGCUUCCCUAUUCCAAAAAGAGAAUAAGAGAUUAAACAUUUCGAAAUAGAAAGCACUAAACCAAUAAAAAUCCAUAGCCACAUUUAAAAAAUUACUAUGGAGAACAUGUGUGUGAGAGAGAGAAAGCAAGACUGUUUUACUCGAAAAUAUAAAAGAAAAAGAAAAAAUGACUGAGUUUCGAAAAAUCGAUCAAACUUAUGAUUUAAGAGAAAUCGAAUUUCCAAAAGAACAGAGUCGCCACUAAAUUUUUAAUAAAAAUCAAGAAAAAACUUAAGGUUUUCAAAAGACUCAAACAGAUAAAAUCAAUCGAAAAAGGGUUCGAGUUCAAUGUACAUUCCGAGAAGGUGUUAGGACCCUCGAAAUGCCCGCUAACUUGCGGUUGACCGGCGAUUUGACUAAAAAUGAUUUUGACUAAUUUUAAAAUUUUAACUAAGUAAAAGAACUCAUAACGACUUUGACUAAUUUUGAAAUUUUAACUAAGUAAAAGAACUCAUUUACUUUAACUUAUUUUUAAAAAUUUUAACUAAGUAAAUGAACUCAUUUAUUUUAACUUAUUUAUUUAUUACUAUUAUUAUUUUCAUCACUUUAUUUUUAUUAAUGUCAUUUAAUUAUCUUAAGGGGAAAUGAACCAAGGGAUAAUUUUUCUAAAGGGGAAUAAUUUAAGUGACGAGACAAAUAAUAAAGUAAGAGCUAAGUAAUAAAAUAUAUAUACUUUAAUUUGGAAAAUAACAUGAAAUCGCCGUCUUUGGGAAUUUAAUUAAAUUAAACCAUAAGAUAAUCAAGGUUAGUCAAACAAUACAAUAUAAAUAAAGACACAGUAACAUUCUUUUGUGUAACAAAGAUGUCUCAAUUUUUUAGACUCCCAAACACCAAAAGGAAGUUUACUAUAGCUAUGAAAUAUAUCCAGGGUCUCUAGACAUUUGAGCUUGACAAUACUAUUUGGCAAUUUUACUCUAAUUCUCCCCUCCAAUCGCACAUAGCGUAGGCAACUCAUGUUCCCAAUUUUGUUUGGGAUAGUAAUUACAUGCUGAUAACGAUCUCGAGACGUGACUACAACCAACACUUGCAAUAAUUUGAAACUAAGGUGAGCCAUAUGAGAAAAUAGGCAACUGUUAUUGUUGAAACAGAAAAGUGCACGAAGCUUCGUAGGUUUAGGAUUUGAACGGAAGAACUCAUUCAUGGCAUUAUUAUCAGAGUAGAAUGUAAUCCUUCGCACCCUAGCAACAUUGCUGGGAUCACCAAAUGCAUUGUGCUCGGUGUGAAAGAAGUUACUUUCCUUAGCCAAAUCCACACACAAACUAUGUAACAAGUCAUGUAUGCGACAACUUGAAAUUCUUCCAUCAUAUGUCCUUUUGGCAACUUGAAUCAAGUUUCUUGAAACCAAAUCAUUUAGGAAAUCCUCCGCCAAAUUUUCAGCUUCUCGCAUAUUGCCACUAUUUACAACUAUCAACUUCUCAGCAAUCCACAUAUUUGUCAAAUCAAAAGCACGAAUUUCAUGGUCCUCGGGGAAAAGACCAAAGUACAAGAAACAUGGCCUUAAUGCAAUGGGCAAAUCAUUGUAACUCAGAGCCAAUACCUUAGCACAUCCAUCUUGAACUUUAUGGCUCAUACUCUCAAGUAACCUGUUCCAUGCACGUUCUGUUCUUUCUCUUGCCCUUAACAUGCCUGCAGUCACCACAAUGGCUAGUGGUAUACCACCACAUCUACCAACUAUACUUCUACCAAUAUUUACCAAGUCAACUGAAUGAUUAUUAUCAAAAGUAAAGAUUUUCUUGGUAAAGAGUUUAAAACUAUUCUCUGAAUCUAGAGGUUGCAAUACGUGGAUUGAGAAAUCCCCUCCUAUGUAUCUGCCUACAUUACUAUUUCGAGAGGUUAUAAUUAUCCUACUGCCAAUUUUUGAAUCACAUUCAGGAAGAAGAACAAGUUUUAGAUCAUCCCAAAUUUCAACAUUCCAAAUGUCAUCUAAGAGGAUAACAUACCUUUUUCUUUUCAAGAGUGAUCUUAGGUUGCCUUCCAAGUUAUCUUUCCUUUCUUCUUUCGUCAGUCCAACUUGUUUGGCUAUGUCAAGCAAGAUUUCUCCCGCCCUUGGCUUCUGUGAAACAUAGACCAAAUAAAGUUAAGUGACUGUCUAAGAUAAUUAUUCCUAGUUGAGUGAUUUUCUAAGAUAACUACACAUAUGUAAUGACCCUCUUGGUCAUUUUCUUGUUUUGCCUUCUGUGUGUCGUUUAGAGCAUUUCUAUAGCGACCCCAAGUCAUUUAUGGCUUGCUGGGACUGACAGUUCGGUCACCUGGUCGUUCGUUUGGUCAUAAUUUGAGUUUUAGUGUUUUGGAGCUUAUGAACUUUAAACGAUCAUUUUCGAUCAAAAGUUCAAGAAGAUGACAUCGGAAUCCAAUUCUGACGAUUCCAUCAGCUCCGGAAGGGUCAUUUUAGGCUAGAAGCAUGGUCGGCAUGACUCCCGAGGUUUUCAGUGUGAGUUGGUGCGAUUAGGCGUUUUAACCUUUGAAAUUUGGCUUAGGGUUGACUUUGGUCAACAUUCUUGGAAAACGAGCUCGGAUGGAAAUUCCGUCAGCGUGGUUAGCUCCGGAAUGUCGAGUUUGGUCUAGAUUGACCCUUCUUUGUGUCUGGAGGUUUUCGAUAUCUUUCCGAGCCUUUUUUGUGGGUUUUGACUUAAAUGGCUUUUGGAAGUGGUACCCACUUUUUAUCGAAAUGACCUCUGAUGGAAAUUUCGACUGCGCCGUUGAGUCUGGAAUAUCGAAUUUGGUAUGGUUGCAUAUCUCGUUUGCGUGCACGGGGUUCCGAACGAGAUCGGAGUACCCCGUCGGAAUUUUAAGUUUGGAAGUGUUGCAGAUUUUCUGCAAUUUAUUGCAGAAAAUCAGCAACAUUUCCCAAAUUCCAAACCCUCACAACUCUCUCAUCACUCAACCGAUUUGGGUGAUUCAAAAGGCAAAGUUGUGAGAUUUUUUCGAGGGCAACAUGUUGGUGAGCUUGGAUAGUGAUUUGGAGUCCCCGUUUGAGGUAAUUUUCGAAAAAAUACCUGCUGCCAGACCUCUUUUUGUGAGUUUGAUUUUGGAAAUUUUGAGACUUGUUUUCUUAGCCAUUGUAGAUCCGAUUUUGGUGAUUUUUGAGGUAAUCUUGAGUGGUUUUUCGAGGAGAACGUUGUGGUGUUGUUAGAUUUUACUGUAGACUGCUCGUUUUUGGUAAAUACACUGCUGUCCCAUUUCUAUCUUUGAGAAAAUUUGGGUUUUGGUUGUAUGUUGGUAGUGUGUUGUUCCCGAGCCCCGAAUUGUGUCCCAUUUUGGGAUAUGAACUGGGGGAAAACUGGUUAGGACCCACUUUUGGGGUUAAUUUCAGAAUUUCCAGCGCGGGUCCCACGAUUCCCGUUUUGACUCCAAAAUUGACCCGUCUCCGUUUGUUGUGAUUUUAGUGUCUAAACGAAUGUAAUAACGUUGUGAUUCUAUUUUUGAUAGCGGGGAAGCGUUUUGAGGACGUUCGGAAAGGGAAAGCUCCGGAGAAGUGAUUUUGGAGCGCGUGUGAUUGGCCUACAGGUAGGCUACGGUUUGGUAACUGUGAGCAUGCUUUGUGUUAUUAACGGACCCUCCUCGCUAUGUGGAGUACUUGCAUGCUUAAUUACUGUUUAUUUGAAGCAUGUUGGACCUUAGCUUAGGUUUGACUAGGGCUUGCCUUAGAAAUACAUGAUUCGGAUUCGAUAGGCCUUAGUUUUACCCCGAUGUCGCUCGGCUGACUUAGAUCCCUGUAGACUGAUAUAGCAGACUUGAGUCUGAUAGUUUGGGCCUUAUCUAGGCGAUACGCUUUUUCCGAUAAUAGUUAUCCUUAUUUUCUCCGAUACUGCGGCUUCACGAGUUGCAUCGGCAAUACUAGUUCUACUUCGCGAUUUGAAUUAGAUUUUCGAUUUGGUUCCAAGGACUUUCAUUGAUUGGCUAUGUGUGGACGACAUUUCACGGACAUUUAUAAGUACGGAUCGAUUGAGACUCCUUCAGAAGUUACAUUGGCAAAAUCAUAGAGCAUCCGGUUCGAGGUCCGGCCUCUAUUGCGUCAGAUUCUACUAAUUAGGGUUGAGGUUCUGGUUCGAUGUUCUUCGUUCAUGGGUUCUUUUAUGCAAUUCUCUUUAGUUAUAGUUAUUCUGUGUACUCGUCGGGCUUAUGGGGGUCCGUUCGGGUUUUAUAUACUUAAUACUGGUGAUUAGUUACUUGGGUACUUAUAUGGAGCAUCCGGUUCGAGGUCCGGCCUCCGUACUGUCAGAUUUUACUAAUUGGGGUUGAGGUUCUGGUUCGUGUUCUUCGUUCAUGGGUUCUUUUAUGCAAUUCUCUUUAGUUAUAGUUAUUCUGUGUACUCGUCGGGCUUAUGGGGGUCCGUUCGGGUUUUUAUUUAACUUGCGCACGAGUGUACCUUCUGGGCUUAUGGGGGUCCAGUUAGGUGUAGUUAGCUUGUAGAUUACUCUAGUUAGUUCUUUAUACACUCGUGUGCAUUUCAUUGUUAGUUAGAUUUUAGUUCUUGACUUCGGUUUGUGUUAUUCCUUCUUUUCAUACUGCCUUUACUUUUCAAGUUCAGUCGGCCUAUGAUGCCUACUGGGUACCUGUUGUUUUGGUACUCAUGCUACGCUCUGCAUCUAUUUCGUGAUGCAGGUCCGGGCACUAGAAGCCAGCGUUGAUCGAGCUUGGAGCAGACUGAUCCGGAGACGGGAGUGAGCACACGACGUUUUGUACUAUUUCAGUCUCCAUCUGUAUAUAUAGACUUGUCUUUUACCUUUCGAGACAGUCCAGUCUCUGUUGUCCACUUUUGGGACUUGUACUCAUUUUGUUAGUAGCUCUGUACUAGUGACUUCCAGGUUCUGGGAGGGAUCUUUAUUUGUAUAUAUGUUUUUGGUUUGCUUCCGCCUGUUUAUAUUGUUAUUUGCCUACUCUUGUUUAGUUUCUACCCUCAGACCCAUUACUUGUUGUUCCGGUUUACGGGUUGGCUUACCUACUGGUGGGUAGUAGGUGCCAUCAUGACUUGAGAAAUUGGGUCGUGACAAGUUGGUAUCAGAGCCCCAGGUUUAUCGGUCUCACUUGUACAGAGCUAACGUCUAGUAGAGUCCUGCAUAUCGGUGCGGAGACGUCCGUAAGUAUAGUUGAGUGACUUUUGAUUUACAAAAUAAAGUCAAGUGACUUUCUGAGAAAACUAUCAAUAGUUGAGUGACUUUUGAGAAAGAUAUUCAUAGUUGAGUGACCAUUUGAGAUAUUAUCUCAAAAGGCUUUUAUUUAGAUUAAUUUCUUAGUAAAAGAUAAGGCAAGAAGGAACUACAAAUUUUAAAGUACAACUUUUGAUAAGUUAUUCUUUUUUUAAAAACCUAACAAAAUAUUAUUUAUAGUGAACAAAUCAUCUGACAAUAAACCAAGUCAAUUCUUCAUAAUACCCAAGUCUUAUUAACUUCACCGAGUGUUAAUCUGAUAACAAUAUCAAUAAGUUAAUUUUGUGGUUGAGUUAUGGUAUACGUUUCAAUCUUGAACCGUAUUCUUAUUUUCUUAAAGAAUCAUAUUCUUAUUUUUUUCCCUAAUAACUUUAAUUAAUAAAUAAGUAGAAAGAACUAUUUUUUUCUUCUUAAUAUCAUUUUAUCAACGGAAAAGGGUCAAAAUUGCCCCUGAACUAUGUGAAAUAGACCACUUAUACCCUUCGUUACAUUUUGGGAUCAAAAUUGCCCCUGCUGUUAUCCUAAGAGACCACAAAUACCCUCAAGAGUUAACACCCCAAAUUUUUAAUUGACGUGGCAAGUUACAUGGGACUAAUUCUUCCACCUAAGUGUUGCCAAUUAGGAUUCACUAAAAAAGAACUAGACCUUUAGCAGCGACAACAGUCGCCACAAAAGCCCAGAAAAUCGUCACUAAAAGUUUUUAACAUUAAAUUCUAAUUUUGUGUUUUUUUCUUCAUUGUUUUUAAAAAAUUAAAAUAUCGAUUAAGUAGGAGUUUUAAGACACUAUAUGUUUUAUUUUUAUGUCAUAUGUAAAUGUAUAAAAUGUACAAUGAUGCAUUAUUAUAUAGUAGGAGAUUUAAAUCGAGAAGUAAUUUUGAUGAUUUUUCGUAAUAAUAUUGGAUGUUUUUUAAUAUUGAUAUUGCAAGUUAUUUAUUUUAGAAAAUUAGGUUGCAAUAUAAAAUUAAUUAUCAUAUUUUUUUUGUUGAAAAAAUAGGUUUUAUUAGUGAAUGGUUGUUGGAGCUUUAGUCGCCACUAAAAAUCACUCAUAACCUUUAGUGGCAAUAUUUUGAGAUUUUGUGGCGACUUUCUCGCCACUAAAGGUCAAGUUCUUUUAUAGUGAAUCUUAGUUGGCAAUGCUUAGGUGGAGGGAUUAGUCCCAAGUGGCUUGCCACAUCACUAAUAAUUUGGGGUGUUAACUCUUAAGGGUAUUUGUGGUCUCCUGGGAUAACGACGAGGGUAUUUUUGAUCCCAAAAUGUAAUGAAGGGUAUAAAUAGUCUAUUUCACAUAGUUUAGAGGCAAUUUUGACCCUUUUUCAUUUUAUCAAUUAAAAUAGAAUAAAUGUACAUAUCUUUUUAAUUGAUAAUAUUGGUCAUACAUAUAGGAGCAUAGUAAUUAUACAAUUUGUUUACUACUAGUUCUAACUAUUUUGUAUUAAUCAAAUAUAACUUAAAGCUAAAAAGAAAAGUACCUGAUAGGUUGGAAUUUAGCUGAUGCAGUUCCUUGAUUGGAGUAAAUAUUAAUUAUAAGUGUUUUUUUCAAAAGAUGGAAAUUGACAAAUUAACCAAUAACUUCAAUUCUAUUUAUAAGUAUAUUUUUUAUAAAAAAAUAAAUAAAUUAGUUCAAUACUUGACUUGAAUGUGAGGGUAAGAUGGGCCAUAAUUUCCAAUUUAUUCUUUACUUAAACCAUAUAUAGGCAUCUUACCUUUUUUCUCAUGAAAAAGUAAAAGGAAAGUAUAAUGUUGGAGAAUUAAAAAAAGAUAAUCAUAUUUUCACUUUUGUCUGGAUGUAAAUGUUACAAAAGAAAUAAAUGAAUAUUUCAAACGGAAGUAUUUCUCGUGAAGAACUCUUUUUUCACUUUAGUUGUAAUUAUUCCAUCGGUAGUUUUGUUACAUAUUAGUUGAUCAUUUUAUUAAAAAUAUAUAGUUGUUCAUCUUUCUAAAUGAAGAAAGCAUUAAUUUUUUUUCCUAUAUUAUCCAUGCAAUUAAUUAUUUUUUAUAGUGUUCACAUUUGUUUAUUAAAUUUUCAAGAAUUUUUUUAAAGAAUGAAUUAAUAAAAUUAACUUCUUAUUUAUGAUACUUAGUAUGCUUGUAAAAAGGAAAAUGAUCAACUGAUAUCGGGAGAGUACCAGAGGCGUAUGUACAUGAAGGGGAGUGGGUUCACAUGCACCCAUCCUCCCCUUCCUAACCCCUAUAUAAUACUACUAUUUUCUAAUUAUCUUUUCAAAUUUGUAUUGGUGAACCCAAGGUUAAAAAGAAUACUCUAGUAUAUUGAUAAGUAUGUACAAAUAGAGGGUGCAUAACUUAUAGAUUUGUGGUUCAAAUUUUUAUAUCCACAUUAAUAUUUUUAAUUUUUAAUUAAUAUAACAAAAUGUGCCACUUUUCAUAGAUCUUUUUAAUAAUUUAUAAAUAAAAAGAGGUCCAAAUACCCAUAUUUUUAGGUUGCAUUAGCUAUGUCUAGACCUUAAGCUAGAAAUGUCAAUAAAGUCAAAUUAUAUUUUUACUUUCUUUUUCUCCUUUCCUUCUUUAGACGUUUUUCUUAUUUAUUUAUUUUAACUUUUUCUUUUGACUUUUCAAAGUCCUAAUCUGAAAGGUAAAAAAGAGUAAAGACAUCAUAUUGUUCUUCUUUUGGCUUCAUUCCACUUUGUUGUUCAUGGUGAAGUAGAAGUGGGAUUUGAGAACAAGUAACAAGGUAUGCUAUCUAAAAAUAAAUAAAUUAUUUAUUAAUGUACUUCAUUUGUUUUAUAUGUUUUUCUUGAUUUAUGAAGUGGUGCCAUUAUUUGAUUGCUUGAAUAAUUAAAUUUAUAAGAAUUUCUUGAUUUCUAAAUAGUUAUCUAAGAAUUGUGAUUCUUUUAUUAGUAAACUUGUUAUUUGUGUUAAUAUUUUUUAAAAAUUAUUUUGUUUUGAUAAGAUUGAAUAGAAGUGUGAAUAUUUAAUUUUGUAGGUAAAAUAAUUCUUACAUUCAAAUCAUCAAAUCACAAAUGGAUAAGUUUCUCAUCAAGUUACCAAAGCCUAAAGAUGGCCAACCAAGUUCUAGCUCUAAUAAACCAUUUGUGAGUUCACAAGUUGCUCCGGAAGUUCAAAGACAUAUAAAUUCUUUUCCACUUUUAAAUACGGAUAAUAUGCUUGAUUUUAAAUCUCUUGAAGCAGAUCCCAAAGACCGAAUGCCUAUUUCAUCUUAUGGUCCUAAUAUUCGAGAUGCGGUAAGGAGGUAUUACAUUCAAAAAAAGCCAUGUCAACUUGUUGAUCAUAUCUUCCCUAAAACUAAGUUUGGAGAUAAAAUGCGUCAAUUUCGACCAACUUGGUUUAAGAGAAGAUCUCAAUGGUUGGAAUAUAGCAUUAAAGCAGACGCGGCAUUUUGUUUGUGUUGUUAUUUGUUCAAGAUUGAACUUGAAAGACUGUCGGAGAUUCAUUUACAAGAGCUGGUUUUAGGUGUUGGAACAAAGCUUUAGAAAGAUUCAAAAACAUGUUGGUAAGGUAAAUAGUAUCCAUCAUAAAUGUUUCAAUAGGAUGCAAGAUUUGAUAAACCAACGACAAUUGAUCCAAUCUUCUUUUGACAAGCAAAGUGAAAAGGCAAGAAGUGAUUAUCGGAUGCGUUUAAAUGCCUCAAUUGAUGUAGCAAGAUUUCUUUUGACAUCGGGAUUUCCAUUUCGUGGACAUGAUGAAAGUGAAGGUUCUGAAUAUAAGGGUGCUUUUCUUGAACUUUUGAAAUGGUAUGGGAAUAGAAGUUUUGAUGUGGGAAGAGUAAUAUUAGGUAAUGCUCCACAAAAUGAUAUGAUGAUUUGUCCGACAAUUCAAAAAGAUAAUGUGGAGGCUUGUGCUAAAGAAACAACUAAGGCUAUCAUUGAAGACUUGGACGGUGACUAUUUUGCAAUAUUAGUUGAUGAAUCAAAUGAUGUUUCUCAUAAGGAGCAAAUGGCUCUAAUUUUGAGAUAUGUCAACAAAAGUGGAAUGGUGAUAGAGUGAUUCUUGGGUAUUGUCCACGUAAAUGAUACAUAUUCUCAAUCAUUUAAAAAGACAAUUUAUUCUUUGCUUUUGGAUCACUCAUUAUGUACAUCCAAAAUACGUGGUCAAGGUUAUGAUGGGGCUAGUAAUAUGCAAGGGAAAAUAUGUAACAACCCAGAAAAAAUUUAAGCUAAGACUUGAACUAUUCUUCGUUGUGAGUAGGGUUUUUUCGAGGAAUUAAAAUUUCUUAAGUGUUAAGGUCACUAGAUGUAGCACCUUGAGUUCGAGAAGGAAUUAAAUUGGAAAUAGUAAAAUCUGAAAUUUUGCAAGUUAUGAUUAAGUAUGAGUUUUGGGUCGACUUAAAACGACUAUAACUCCUAGCUCAGGAUGAGUUAGGUGUAGAUAAUUUUAUUGUCUAUGCUCAAAAGUGUGAUAGCAAGUUUCUCAACUUGAAGGGAAUCAAGCAUCUUAGCGAAGAUCUUUGAAUUAUAUUUCCAACGCCACCAAAUUUGCUAAGUUUCGAGUUCGAAAGAGUGAGAUAUGACCUUUUGAAGUUAGGCUGUCCAGUUAAGGAAAGUCAAAAUCGGAUUUUAGAGGGGUAUUUUGGUCUUUUCCAUACCCAAUCAGAUUUAAUUCGUUUUUAGUAAUAUUUUAAGGGUAUAAUCUGAUUAGGUUCAGUUUAAUAAUCCUAGUUUACGCCUAGGGUUUUAGUUGAGAUUUCAAGAAGAGAAAAGAAGAAAAGAGAAGAAGAGAAAAGAGAAAGGAUGAAGGCGUUUGUCGACGUUCUUGAGAGUUGUUGCGGAUUGUCUUAUUGAUAUGAAAACUCGUCGAGGACAAUUGUAAGUGAAUGAUGGAUGAAGAUCUUUUGAAUGGUUGUUUAGUUUGCUAUAUAGAGCGUAGUAUAUUUAAAAAUGUAAGUAAUGAUGCCAUUAUUGAUAUGAAAACUCGUCGAGGACAAUUGUAAGUGAAUGAUGUUUUUUGCUAAUAUAUUACUAUAUAAAGAUUGCUACUACCUACUUUCUCGUCAACUUGUUCUCACCGUAAAAUUUAUAUAAUUGAAUUAAUUGUCUAUUUUGAAGAUAAUGGUGCCCCCAUGUUCUUGAGAUCCUGGAUACGCCUUUGACUCCAAGGCCUGUAUCUAUUUAACAAUAAAUUGCAGGGACAUAUUCCAGAGACGAUAUGCCAUUUAUCUAAUUUGGUUGAAUUAUAUCUGUAUGGUAAUAAGCUCUCUGGGUUAAUUCCAGAAUGCUACAACUGCUUUCUUUGCAUUCUAACAAAUUAUCUUUAAACUUUCCGUUGAGCCUUUGGAAGAUGAGUAGUCUUCUCUAUCUAAGUGUGUCACAGAAUUCAAUAGAGGGAGAAGUUCCAUCAGAUAUUGGAGGACUGAAAGCCAUUGUAGAACUAUAUCUUUACAGUAACCACUUUUCAGGAAUGAUACCAAGCACAUUCGGGGAACUCCAAAACCUGCAGUAUCUUGAUCUGUCCAACAAUUCUUUUUUUGGCCAAAUUCCAUUAUCCUUUGCCAACUUGAUAAGCUUAGAUUACUUGAAUUUGUCUUUAAAUGCCUUGUCCGGUACUAUUCCUAAGUCUUUGGAAAAACUCGCAUACCUUAAAAGCAUUAAUGUUUCAUUUAAUGAUUUAGAAGGUGAAAUACCGAGUGGAGUGUUUGAAAAUUCCACUUUGCAAUCAUUUCUCGGGAACAAAGGUCUUUGCGGAAUGCACAUAUUGGAGAUUCCUGCUUGUGCUAUCACUAAUCCCAGAAAACAAUCAAAGCUUAAGGAGGUUGUGCUAAAAAUUGUUACUCCAGUGGUUAUUGCAUCCUUUCUGAUAUUCUUGUUCGUUUCAAUUUGGAUAAUGAAACGACAGAGAAAGGGAUGUCCAAAGAUGUUGAAAAGGUAUUGGAGAUCGGGACUCAUCAAUUAAUUUCUUAUCAUGAGAUUCAACGAGUAACAAAUAAUUUUGAUGAAUCCAAUUUAAUAGGUGAGGGAAGCUCUGGCUCUGUGUACAAAGGAACAUUGUUUGGUGGAACUGCAGUGGCCAUUAAGGUUCUCGAUUUGGAAAAUGAGCAAGUAUGCAAGAGGUUUGAUACCGAAUGCGAAGUGAUGAGAAAUGUUAGACACAUAAAUCUUGUUUCAGUGAUUACUACAUGUUCUAAUGACUAUAUAAGAGCCUUUGUUCUGCAAUUUAUGCCCAAUGGAAGUCUUGAGAAUUGGCUGUACAAAGAAGAUCGCCACUUGAACCUUCAUCAAAGAGUCACUGUAAUGCUUGAUGCAGCUAUGGCAGUUGAAUAUCUACUUCAUGCAGGGGCAUAUAUAGGAGGGGGUCACCGGGUUCACGUGAACCCAUGGUUCCCUCCGAAAAUCAUAUAUAGUAGUGUUAUAUUUUUUUAAAAUAUUUAAAUAUAGAUGCGUGAACCCAGACUCGAAGUAUCAUAUAAUGUAGUACGAUGAUGAUUGGGUGCACCUCUCUAGGUGAGGUUAAAAAUUUGAAUCUUUUAUCUAUCUUGUUUUAGUUUUCUUUCUAAGAUUUUGUAACUGGUUUGGAUCAAUAAAAGUUAAUUUUGGACCUAUGAUUUUAAAAUUUUAAUGGUUUUCAGUAAAAAGAAUAUAACUGAUCAAAUUUAUGUCUUAGAUCCACCUUAUUGUAAUAGUGCACCCAUUAUCUAUAAAUCCUGAAUACGCCUCUGACUUCAUGGUCAUGUCGCUCCAAUAGUUCAUUGCGACUUAAAGCCAGCAAACGUUCUUUUGGAUGAGGAUAUGGUCGCUCAUGUUGGUGAUUUUGGAAUCUCUAAGAUUUUAGCUGUCAGCAAGUCCAUGGCACAUACAGAGACAUUGGGGCACUCUUGGAUACAUUGCACCAGGUAUAAAAAGCCUACUCUCAUUGAUUUUCUCUUAUCAUAAUUAUAUUUCAAUUGAGUAACUUUUGUGCAAUCCUUUUCUACGAAUAUGGCUCGGAGGGAAUAGUGUCCACUAGUGGUGAUGUUUAUAGCUAUGGCAUCAUGUAGAUGGAGGUUUUGACGAAAAGAAGGCCAACAGAGGAAGAGAUAUGCAAUGGAAAUCUCGACUUGAGAAAAUGGAUUACACAAUCAUUUUCAGGGAGUAUGAUGGACGUUGUGGAUGCCAAUCUUUUUUGUGAGGAAGAACAAACCACUAGUAAAAGUGAAAUGUGCAUAGCCUCCAUGAUAGAAUUGGCUUUAGAUUGCACAAAGGAAGCGCCACAAUCAAGAGUGACCAUGAAAGAAGUAGUGAAGAGGCUUAACAAAAUCAAGAAUGCAUUUCUAGAAACAUAGAAUUGCAAAUUAAUAUGAUGCUUUUUGUUGUUUAAUAAAGUUGUCGUAUAGUACUACUUGAAUUCAUGUAUUGUUUGUAAUUUCAUUUGAGUGAUUAUGUUUUGAAUGCUUGAAAGAAAUCAGAAAUAAAGGUGUUUAGCUGCACGAUUUUGUUUUUUGAAUGUGAUGAAACAAUUAGUGAAUUGAGCACUUUUGAUUUCCUUGUACUAAUUAAUUACUGUAAACAAUUAGGGAAUUGAGCACUUUUCAUUUUCUUGUACUAAUUAAUUACUGACUUCUUUGGACUUUACCUGCACAAGUAUUCCAACAAGCCUAUCUUAACACCAGAGAGUUCCAAAAGAAAAAUUGGUAACCUGAGCCAGCUUCCAAUUUUGUCCUUGGUCGAUAAUCAUUCCCGAAACACUGUUGUCCCUAUCUGAGCCAGCUUCCAUUUUUUCACAAACAGUGUAACAUUUAUAUAAGCGAGCAAUAAACAUCUCUAUUAUAACCUUAGUAAGCUCAGUAUGAGUAUUAUGGUUGAGUUUCAAGCGAAAACAAGUUUAGCAAAAAAGACGAGAAAUAAUGGUAAAAAACACUUUUGAAGUAUCAUUUUUUUAGCGAGUUUCAUGCCUGAAAGGUUUUUUAAUUUCCUGCUUGAACUGCCACCAACUAUUUAUUAGAACAUACCUCUCGAAUUCUAUAUUUAUAUUAAAUGGUUAAGCAACAUACAAUUUUUUCCAAACUUGUCUUAGACUGCAUGACCUCUCAUUGACUUGGUUCUGGACCAUAUAAUAAAUAAUGCAACUUAUUUAAUUAAAAAAAAAUAUGAUUUUAAUAAUACAAGUUGACUGACUUUUCUCAAUCAAUUCCCUUACCCCUCAGUAUACGCAUAAUUGACCUGUCUUCUUGUGGUUUUGUCUUUAUAAAGUUGGCCUAUGUAAUAUUCCUCAAUGAGAUGACAUUUCAAUAACGUGUAAUAAUACAUCACAGAAAAGUUUGUGGAAAUCACAACCAUAUCUAUAAAAUGAUUUGACUUUAAAUAUUUCAUUCAAUAUGAAUUUUAUAGUUUAGGUAUGAAACUUGCAAAACAAAAAUAGUUCAGUGGUUUAUUAACCUAUUCAAUCUUAAACGAAUGCUAUGAUCACUUUAUCUUUCAGUUACAUAUUACACAUAAAAGUUGUUCAAGAAUAUUAUAUAUUCACAACAAUUAUUAAUUAUAGUGAAUGAAAAAAUAUAUUAUGUAUGAUUUCAGAUUCACUGUUAUGUAAUCGAAAUGCACAAACAAGUUUCUAGGGGAAGAUUUACCAUAAUUAUAACGAUGAACAGGCCGUAGAUAAAUUACUUUCUGGGUAAGCAUUGUGCAUGUAGCUAGUUACGACCCGAUUUCGAAGACUAAGGUUUCGAAGCCAUUUUCGCAACUUUGGCAAAUUUUAGUUAGGUUUUGGAAAAAUUUAUAAUUUGGAAGUCGCCAUUUAAUUUUUUAGGAAAAAUUAAGAAAGCCAUUUAAAAGUGGGUUUUAUGAAAGAAAACAUUUCAACAAAACUAGAGUCGGGAAAGGGUUCAAGUAAUUCUCUAAGGAAGGGUUUAGGCAUCUUAAAGAAUCUGCUAACACUUGAUUGACCGAUGGAUUUAAAAGUUGGCUAAUUUUUUUUAAAGAUAACUUAUUACUUGUGAAAAUCUUGUUGAGAAUAACAAAAGCCUUUUGAUACUUAUACACUAAUCUUAUUCCAAGUAAUGAAAUAAGUCAAAUGCUAAAGUGUCAAAAUAAUAAUUUUAAAUUUAACAUUUUAUCCGAGUUAAGAUUUUGAACUAAAUGGUUAGCUCAAUCUCACCAACGUGGAUUCAAAGCUAAUUGCUAACUAUGAAAGAAUAUGGAAAAAUCUCAAGUUAGUCUAAGAGCUUAAGUUGCCUAACUUGAAAGAGUUUUGAAAAUUUAAAUACUUAAAGUAGACAACUAACGAAAUAGAAGAGCCAUUAAAAAACUCCCAAGGAUUCAUCUAAGUUAGAUAUAAGAAGAAAAUGUUAGCAUUUCUAAAAUAAGAACAGAAACAAGAUAACACAAAUAAAUAACAAGAAUCUAGGCUCUUGGCCUAAAAUGCUCCUCACUUACUGUUACGGUAUAAAUUGGACCUUUUUAAGUCCAAAAGUUCCCAAUUUUAGUCCUUUUGGGACUGCUUCUACUGCUGCAAUAAUCAAAUUGGAUUCUUAAAUCCAAAAUUCAAUUUUCGGCCAUUUGGAAUUGUUGUUACUCCGCUACUUAGCUGCUGCCACUGAUUUGGGUUUUAACCCAUUAAUAUUAGCUUCCCCUUUAUAACUUUGGCGGAGGUCGACUCAAAGAAAGGAAGAUGCAAGAGAGGGGAGUCCAAUUGGACUCAUUCGGAGGGAGUUCCUGCAAAGUAGAGAAAAGGAAGAAGAAUUAGCACAUGUAGCGAGAAAAUGACACUUCAGUUUUAAACAUUCAAACACAAGGAUGAAAUUAACCAAAUAAAACUAUCGUGAACAAAGGGGGAAAAGAAACAGAUCCGAAGCUAUUGCUAAGUUCAUAAAUCCACAAAAUGAUUAAUUAGUCACUGGACCUUUUGAUCUAUACAACCAGCAAAAGGCAUACUUACAAUGGCCAAAAUUGUACUAAACAUGCAAACGUAAUCAGCCAUCAGUUAAAUAAAAGAAAAGAUAGUAGCGUUCCGAUUUUAGCUUAGACUUCAUAUAUCAUUGACUAGUGACUUCUUUCACCAAAAACAAGCUCAACGUACAUAUCUAUAACAAAACUACAAAAGCAGACCCCAAAAGCAGAGCCUUCAGGCAACAACUUCUUUUGAAAUCGAAAAACAAAACACCACUUUAUAUAAUUAAGACGAUAAAAAAAAGAAUUCCAGAUUUGAACCAAUGAAAAUCGAACAUAGUCUAACAGAAGGAGUACAACUAUAUUCAGAAAAAUGAGAACUGGACAGAUUUUAAAACAAAGAAAACUAAUUAAAUAUCUCAAACUCAAACCAAUCUUUAAAGCAGGGGAUUUAAAAAAGAUUGCUAAAGCAAAAGACUACUACAAGAAGCUUUACCAGGAGACAAGCAGAGAACAUUCAAUACUAAAUAACACGUCUCAAAUAAUCAGUUUAAGGCACAAAAUAGAAAGAAAUUGCUAAAUGAGCUCACAUUUAAAAAUCAAAACGACACCAACAUCUAUUUUGAGAAACAAAGAAACCUUGAAAUAAUCCGCAUGAUACAGAGGAAUUAAAAGGAGACUUAACCAUCCAAACUAAAAAAUAAAUAAAAAAUGUCUAGCAUAAGACAAACAAGAAGCUUCUCAUCCAUUUCCGAUACAACUAAGAAAAACUAAAACUAUUAAGAGCGAAUUUGCGGGUAUUUAAGAAACUAUUAAGACAAGAAAUAAAAUACUAAGACCUUAGUUUUAAAUCUAAUUAACCAAUUUACAUAUUCAAGUUUUCAAAUCAGUGAACUGUUAGCCAUAACACAUAACAAAAAUUAGCAUCUACAAUAGAAAUUAACAUAUAGAGUAGAAACUAUACCAAGCAAGAAUAAAUAGUCUAGAACAGAAAACUUAACAACAUAAAAAUAAAGAAACUUAUGAGACUAAACCCACAUAAAACAACAAAGAAAUCAUACUAUCCAAAUGCUCGAACCAACUUAAGGAGAGAAAAGAAUUUACCUUUUGCCGAGCAGGAACCAAGACGACGAGCUCGAGAAUGACACCACCUUCAACUCUGUUGGUAAAUUUUAGUAGUAUGAGUUUUAGAAAGCAGAGAAGUCAAGAAGAAUAUUGGUAGAAGAACAUUUUUAUUGAUGUCUUCAGAUUUCAUUUAUAAGACUGGAAUGAAAAACAGAAAGCAGUAAACCCACUACUAGCAUAUUCCUAACUCACUAACUUACUCCUAAAUGAUAGGAAUAAAUGGCUAACAACUAAUUGACUAAGUCUUAUCUAAUAUAAUGCAGUAAAAGUAAAAGUGCAGUUGAAAAAGCAAAUUCCUAACACUCCUCCUUGCUUUGGAAACUGCAAACUCCAAUUUUCUGUCUAAGAAGCUGAAACUUGCCGACUGGUAAAGGCUUAGUGAAUAUAUCAUCCAAUUGUUCUUCCGUCUUGCAGUAGACAAGAGUUAUAUCUCCAUCUUUUUGCACUUCUCUCAAGAAAAAGAACUUGAUUUUGAAGUGCUUAGUUCUUCCAUGAAACACAGGAUUGUGAGAUAUAGCUAUUGCUGCUUCAUUGUCCACGAACACUUUGAUGCUUCCAGUCGGUUCCAUAUGCAAAUCAACCAGAAUUUUCUUCAGCCACAAUGCUUGAUUUACUGCUGCUGCAGCUNNNNNNNNNNNNNNNNNNNNNNNNNNNNNNNNNNNNNNNNNNNNNNNNNNNNNNNNNNNNNNNNNNNNNNNNNNNNNNNNNNNNNNNNNNNNNNNNNNNNNNNNNNNNNNNNNNNNNNNNNNNNNNNNNNNNNNNNNNNNNNNNNNNNNNNNNNNNNNNNNNNNNNNNNNNNNNNCCUGAAGUACUCUUUGCAUCAUCCUCGGAACCGCCCCAAUCACUGUCGGAAUACCCACAAAGCUUCACAGGUUGACUCUUCUGAAACUUGACUCCAUAGGUGAUGGUUCCUUUGAUGUAUCGCACAACUCUUUUGGCUGCCUGCAAAUGUACUUCACUAGGACAAUGCAUGAAUCUUGAUAAAACACUUACAGCAUACAAUAUAUCAGGUCUUGUUGCUGUAAGAUACAUUAAACACCCAAUGAAACUUCUGAAGUAUGUCUCAUCCACCUUUUCGGCUCCAUCAUCUUUACUUAGUUUCUCUUUUUGGUUCAUGGGAGUACUAAUCUCUUUGCAAUUGUCCAUUUUGAAUUUCUUGAGAAUUUCCUUUGCGUACUUUUUCUGGCAAACGAAAAACUCAUCUUUUCCUUGUGUAAUCUCCAUUCCAAGGAAAUAUGUCAUAAGACCAAGAUCAGACAUUUCAAAAGCUGGCAUCAUAGCUUGCUUGAACUCCUCAAUUAGCUUUUCACUGCUCCCUGUAAUCAAAAGGUCAUCCACAUAAAGAGAAACAACAAGAAUCUCACUGCCAUUAUGUUUAACAUACAAUGUGAAUUCUGAAAGACUCUUUUCAAAAUCGAGACCGAGAAAAUAAUCAUCUAUUCGACUAUACCAAGCUCUUGGUGCUUGUUUUAAGCCAUAAAGAGCUUUAUGUAGUCGAUAGACUUUAUCUUCCUUUCCAUCUAUAACAAAUCCUUCAGGUUGCUCAACAUAAAUUUCUUCUUCAAGAAUGCCAUUAAGAAAUGUUGAUUUGACAUCUAUUUGAUGCACUUUCCAGCCACGUUGUGCAGAAACAGUUAUAAGCAAUCUGAUUGUGUCGAGCCUAGCAACAGGAGCAAAAGUGUCAGAAUAAUCUACACCAAAAAUCUGUGCAUAACCCUUAACUACAAGCCUUGCUUUAUGCUUGUUGAUUGAACCAUCAGCAUUUAGCUUGGUUCGGAACACCCACUUUACCCCAAUUACUUUUCUGCCUUGAGGUUUGUCAACAAGUUGUCAUGUAUCAUUUUUUUCGAUCAUAAACAACUCCUCCUCCAUUGCAUUUCUCCAAUUGGGGUCUUUUAGAGCAUCUUUAGGGUUAGCAGGUUCACGAAUCGCAACAUUGCAUCUCUCAUAUAUAUCAGAGAGCAAUCGAGUUCCCCGAACUGGUGGAUCAUCGUCCCUUUCAUUUAACCACGAGCUUGUUUUUUGGAUGGAAUUCCUUGAGUCAUCCCAAUCCCAUUCUUCAUUCUCCAUGAAGUGGACAUCUCUGCUGAUAAUUAUCUUCUCACCUUCAGGUUGAAAGAUUUUGUACGCUUUUGAAACAUUACUGUAGCCAAUAAAAAUGCCCGGGGCAGCCUUCUUAUCUAGUUUAUCCCGUUUGACCUGAGGUACAUAGGUAAAACAAAGACAACCAAACACUUUAAGAAAAUGCAGUGGAGGCUUGUAUCCAUACCAUGCUUCAAAAGGAGUUUGAUCUUUCACAGCUUUUGAGGGAAGUCGAUUUUGUAGGAACAUAGUUGUACUUGCUGCCUCUGCCCAAAACAUCUUUGGCAAAUUCUUUUCGUGCAACAUACAUCUUGCCAUCUCCAUGAUAUAUCUGUUUCUUCUCUCACUAACUCCAUUUUGUUCUGGAGUAUAAGGAGCAGUAAGUUGACGUUCAAUCUCUGCUUCUUCACAAAAUAGAUCAAACUGAUGAGAAUUGUACUCCUUGCCAUUGUCAGAUCGUAAAAUCUGAAUUUUGCAGCAACUUUCAUUUUCCAACUUCGCUUUCAACUUCGAAAAAAUGAUCUUGACCUCCGAUUUAUACUUUAAAAAAUAAAUCCUGCAUCUUCAGGUCAGAUCAUUAAUAAAAAUAACAUAAUAAAGACUACCUUUAAGUGAAGGAGUCCUUUGGGGCCCUCCAAUAUCGGUGUGAACCAGCUGCAACUUUCUUGUUGCUCUCCAAGUUGCCUUUGGGAAUGGAAGUCUACUUUGUUUUCCAAAUUGACAAGCCCGACAAUUUUUAGAACUCGCUCCCAGUUUAGAAAGGUUCUCGACUAUCACCAAUUCUUGCAUUUUGAGAAGCCCUUGAUAAUGAUAGUGUCCGAGUCUCUUAUGCCAUAACUCGGAAGCAUUUUCUCUUGCCGAAUACACCACUUGUUCUUCCUCCAAUGGAUUUAAUGAGAAACUUCUGCCUCUCAUUUUGACUUUAAACAAGUCAUGUCCUGAGGCUUCCUUGAUCAAGCAAUGAUUAUUUUUGAAAUACAAUUUGAAACCUUUUUCUAACAAUUGACCAACACUUAACAAGUUCUGAUCUAAAUCUGGUACAUAAAGAACAUCGGAAAUUGCUUUAGUACCUGAUUGUGUUUCAAUUGUAAUAGUUCCCAUUCCUUUUACCGGAAUAGAACCGCCAUGACCUAUUCUGACUUUUGUAACUCCAGUAGGCUUCAAGUCUUUAAAGAUCUCUUUGUCAUGAGUCAUAUGGUUUGUGCAUCCGCUAUCAAUCAGCCAAGACUCAGUUGAAACAUUGCUUACAAAACACGAUGCCACAAAGAGUUGAUCCUCUUCCUGUUCAUUAACAACCUGGGCAUCUGCGUCUUGCUACUGUAAUUUACUCUUGCAAAUAAUUGCUUCAUGCCCGAGUUGGUUGGACUUACUGCAUUUAGCAUCAGGCCUUUUCCAACACUUAUACGGCGCAUGACCAUUCUUUCCACAAUGCUUACAAGGAGGAUAGUUUCCUUUAAAGCUACCUGUUUUGCUUUUGUUGUUGUAACGAGCUGCUCCUUCUCCAUUUUUUGGCUGGUUCUUCUUAUUGUUUUUCUUUUUGUAUCUUCCACUCUCUUCAUGUUUGGCCGCCAAUGCUCCCUCUCUNNNNNNNNNNNNNNNNNNNNNNNNNNNNNNNNNNNNNNNNNNNNNNNNNNNNNNNNNNNNNNNNNNNNNNNNNNNNNNNNNNNNNNNNNNNNNNNNNNNNNNNNNNNNNNNNNNNNNNNNNNNNNNNNNNNNNNNNNNNNNNNNNNNNNNNNNNNNNNNNNNNNNNNNNNNNNNNNNNNNNNNNNNNNNNNNNNNNNNNNNNNNNNNNNNNNNNNNNNNNNNNNNNNNNNNNNNNNNNNNNNNNNNNNNNNNNNNNNNNNNNNNNNNNNNNNNNNNNNNNNNNNNNNNNNNNNNNNNNNNNNNNNNNNNNNNNNNNNNNNNNNNNNNNNNNNNNNNNNNNNNNNNNNNNNNNNNNNNNNNNNNNNNNNNNNNNNNNNNNNNNNNNNNNNNNNNNNNNNNNNNNNNNNNNNNNNNNNNNNNNNNNNNNNNNNNNNNNNNNNNNNNNNNNNNNNNNNNNNNNNNNNNNNNNNNNNNNNNNNNNNNNNNNNNNNNNNNNNNNNNNNNNNNNNNNNNNNNNNNNNNNNNNNNNNNNNNNNNNNNNNNNNNNNNNNNNNNNNNNNNNNNNNNNCAAGGUAUGUGAGCUUUUAGUGUUGGGUGAUCCUUUCCCCCACACACCUAGCCCUUUUUUUUCUUAUCAAGAAAGGAUGGGCUUGUUGAUAAAGUUGUUAGUUGUUGUGGUUGNNNNNNNNNNNNNNNNNNNNNNNNNNNNNNNNNNNNNNNNNNNNNNNNNNNNNNNNNNNNNNNNNNNNNNNNNNNNNNNNNNNNNNNNNNNNNNNNNNNNUGGAUCCAUUAGGAAGUUCAGGUCCUAUACCUUUGGCUGGGUAUAACAUGCGCUGGCAGCGUGAGGUAGAUCGUUGUAUCAUCACUAUAGCUCUUAAGUGAUGGUUGUCGGUUAGAGAAACUCCCACAAAAGUUAUUGUAUUUUUAUAUGCACGGUUGAUUGUAUUUUUACAUACAUUUCAGAGUUAUGUUGUAUCCUUGCAUACACACAGAGUUGACAGCAUGUUUUUAAAUAGUUUGUUUCUUUAUAUUGCACUUGUUUUAAAUUGCUUUAUAUUCAAAUGAGUUCAGCCAUAUUGAGUUGAGUACCCAGAGUCGAAUAUCAUAUCUUUGAGUUGAGUAUCUAAUCUCUGAGUUGAGUAUCUUAUCCUUGGGUACUUCUGAGUUGAGUAAUUUGAGUAGUUUUGAGUAUCCUUGAGUAUUCCUUGAUUUGAGUAAGUUUCAGAAGAGAUAAGUAUGCUUCCUUUUUAUCAAGUUUCAAGCUUAUGUUAUGCUUUAGAAUUCCCCUUACAUGCUCGUACAUUCCACGUACUGAGUCAUUUGACCUGCACUUUCUCAUGAUGCAGACACAAGUAUUCAGGAUCAUCAACAGGAGCUUCGUUGAUACAUCCGAGAGUUCGAGGUAGCUAUGGUGAGCCUCCUAGUUUCCGAAGGAUUUCAUUUACUUUUAAGUUUAGUCAGGAUGUCGUGGGUCUUGUCCCGACUUCCAUCUUUAUCAAUUAGAGGUUUUCAUAGAUAGUCAGUAUAGUUGAGAAGUCUGUAUCAUUUAUUUUAUUAAAUGUUUUAAAGACUUAAGUUGCCUAUUUUAUGGCGAGUUGAAUAAUUUAUUUUAUUAUUCAGAGUUUUCAUUUGAGUUAAAGUUGUAAUUUAAGUUUUAUGUAACUUUUGUUUCUAGUUUUAAGCUUUGUAUGCUUGAAUCUAGUUUUCCGCUUGUAGUCAGCCGAGGAUGGAGGGUUCGCUUGGGGACCAGCAAUGGUCUUCGAGUGCCGGCCACGUCCAGGGUGUAGGCUCGGGUCGUGACAAAAUAAAUGGUCUCAAGUCUUUAAUUUUACAAGAUACAUCAUCUGCAUAUUCUAUUCACUGUUUUGCUCACCAAUUGCAAUUGGCACUUCUAGGUCUUUCCAAAAAGAAUUAGGAUGUGGAUAAUUUUUUUUAUGUUCUCACUAAUAUUUUGAAUACUAUUGAAGCUUCAUUUAAACGCAGAGAUUCACUUCGACAACAUCAAGAAGAUAAGUUGGAAAAGUUGCUUAAAUUUGGAGAAGUUCAUACAGGGUAAGGUUUGAAUCAAGAACGUGGCCUCCAACGACCGGGUGAUACUCGUUGGGGGUCUCAUUUUAAAACCUUGGACAAUUUCCUAAUUUUUUUUUCUUCAAUUGUUAAUGUGCUUAAGAAUAUGAAACGUGAUUGUCCAUAUCAUCUUGAUAGAUUUGCGGCGGAAAAUCUUUUGAGCAAGAUUCAUGAAUUUGAAUUUGUCUUUAUGUUGCACUUGAUGUUUAAGGUGUUGCUAUUGACGAAUGAGUUGAAUAAAGUUUUACAAAAGAAAGAUCAAAUAUCGUAAUGCUGUGGGAUUGCUUGGCCUUUCAAAGAAACGAUUGCAAAUGAUGAGAGAGGAUGAAUGGGACUCUAUGAUGGAUGAGGUUAGCUUAUUUUGUGGUAAACAUGGAAUUUCAAUUCCCAAAAUGAAUGAAGACUACUCUAAUGGGAAGUCGAAGCGUAAGAGGUCCAAUAUUUCAUAUUUGCAUCACUUUCGUGUGGAAGUAUUUUAUGCCGUCAUUGAUUUGGCACUUCAAGAACUCAAUAAUCGUUUUGAUGUGGUGACUAGUGACUUGCUCCUCGGUAUGGCUAGUUUGAGUCCGGUUGAUUCAUUUGCUAAUUUUCACAAGGAUAGGAUAAUGAAACUAGCCGAGUACUACCCAAGUGAGUUUGGUGAUAAAGAGCUUCGGGAACUCAAUUUUCAACUUGAUGAUUUUAUUGUCUAUGCUCAAAAGUGUGAUAGCAAGUUUCUCAACUUGAAGGGAAUCAAGGAUCUUGCAAAAGUGAUGAUAGAGACAAAACUAGAUCAAACUUGGUCACUUGUGUAUCUACUUGUGAAGCUAACUUUGAUUAUUCCUGUUGCUACCGCAAGCGUGGAAAGAGCAUUCUCAUCAAUGAAGUACAUAAAGAAUGAUUUGCGUAAUAGGAUGGAUGAAGAUCUUUUGAAUGGUUGUUUAGUUUGCUAUAUAGAGCGUAGUAUAUUUAAAAAUGUAAGUAAUUAUGCCAUUAUUGACCGUUUUCAAAAUAUGAAAACUCGUCGAGGACAAUUGUAAGUGAAUGAUGUUUUUUGCUAAUAUAUUACUAUAUAAAGAUUGCUACUACCUACUUGCUCGUCAACUUGUUCUCACCGUAAAAUUUAUAUAAUUGAAUUAAUUGUCUAUUUUGAAGAUAAUGGUGCCCCCAUGUUCUUGAGAUCCUGGAUACGCCUCUGGAGAGUACGUAAUAAAACAACUUGCACUUCGGGUGAUAGUGAAGAAAAUUAUAUACAUUCCCUUUAUUAAAUAAAAUACUUUGAUUUAUUUCUCAUCUUAAACCUAUUAAUUUUCACAAAUAUGAUUACUUAAAAUAAUUAUCAGCCAUAUAUUAUUGAGAAGUUAAUGUUUUUGACGAUUAACACUAGAAAGAAUUUGUAAAAUGUGAGCUAUAUAUCAAUUCCCUACUUGCACUUGCUAUAACAGGUAGUAAUUUAUAUUAGAGGGGUGAAAAAAUCUAAUCGAUCGAUAAACUAAAAUGAAAAAAGUGCUAUUGAUUUAUUGUUAUUGGGUUAUUGGGUCAACGAGGUUUUAAUGGUUUUAUAGAAAGAAAAAAAAUAUUGGGUUACCGGUUCGAUUUUAAUUUUUAAUAUUGGGUUAUUGGGUAUAACGAUAACCCAAUAAGACUAUAAUAAUUUACUAUUUUACUCAUACAUAAACAUUAAAUAUUAAUCGCAAUACCUUACUAGUUAGUGCAUUUGUCCUUUCACCUUCACAUCACACUUCACAGUGAUCACUUUAAGUUCAAAAAUUCACAUUAUACAAAACGUCAAAAUAUAAAGUAAGAAGCAUAUUCCUCUUAGUUUUUUUUUGUGUUACACUUGUAUAAUUCUUUUCAUGUUAGUUAUUAUUGUUUCUAUUUUAUGAGUAUUUGUAAAGUUACGGUAUUAUCUUGCCGCGUUAAAUUGUUUGAGAAGUCAUAUAUUUGUUUUAUAAGUAUUUUCUUAUUGGUUAAAUCAAAUAUCGAACCGCUAAGGACCCAAAACCAAUAAAAAAAUAUUUAAUUGAUUUGGUUAUUGAUUAAACGAAUUUAUAAACCGAUAAAUCAAACCAAUAAAAUACGACCCUAAUUUAUAUUUGCGAGUAUUGAUUAUUGAAGAAGAGAAGAAACGAAAGCUACUGCUAAUUCCAAAGGUAAAUAUACAUAAGUGAUAAGACAAUAAAUAAAUAUGUUUUACAAAUCACAAGCCACAAAUACAUCAAGCAAUCAAACAUUUAUUUAUUUAUUUAUUACAAUUACAAUUUACAAUCAAUCAUUCUGAAAUGCAUCUGCAAUUCAUUAGACAUAAAAUAUUUAGUUGAUUCAUUAAAUAAAAUUGUAAUUAACGUAGCAAACUAACCUAUUGACGCAUUGUGAAUUUCAUAUUCUCAGCUUUGCAAGACGUUCAGAGAGACUAAUUGGAGAACCGCUGCCUUGUACAAGUAACAACUUUUUCAAUUUAGGCAUACUGACAUCAUCCCUACACAUUACUUCAGACAACCCAUCUGGUUCAUUAAUAUGCAGAAAUUCAAGUUGCGGAAAGCUAUCACCACCAGAGAGAUCCAUUUUUUCUUCCAUAUGACUGCACCAAUCCAUUUUAAGUAUCCUUAAUUUGGGUAAUUUCUUAAGCACUGCCACUACAUGACCGUCUACCUUAUAGCGGACAAGAGUAAGCUUGACAAGAUUUGGAGGGAAUGCUUCAGAGUUCAAGCGCAUUGUUCCGCAAACAUUGAUCAAACACAACUUAACAAUAUUUGGAUAGGACGACAAGUUUAUUUGCUCACUCAUGUGCCUGGAAACACUGAGCUUCAGAACUUCCAGCGCCGUUGGCACAGGGCUCAAUGCUGAUAAUAUCUUAACUGUAGAAUCAGAUACUCCUAUUAUACCCAGUUUUCUUAAAUUCAUCAAUCGGUGCAACAAUGUCGCCUCAAAAAAUUUAUCAUCCAGCCACAUCAAAGUUUGUACAUUAUUAUGAGCCAAUGAGUACAAGUUUGGAAAAAUUGGGCUUAUAGAAAAGCAACUGUUAGAUGCUUGAUUAGAACCUCCAUAACAAAGAUGUUUCAAUUGUGUAGACUUCCAAACACCAGCAGGAAAUUUAAUUAAGCUAUAACCAAUAUCGAGGGUCUCUAGACGUUUGAGCUUCAGCAUACAAUUUGGCAGUUUCCCAUAAAUAUGCCCCUGGAAUCGCAGAUAACGUAAGCAACUCAUGUUCCCAAAUGUGUUUGGGAUACUGACAUCACAAAUAUCAUCAACAAAGAUGACUACAACCAACACUUGCAAUAAUUUGAAAUCAAGAUGAGCCAGUUGAGAAAAUAUGCAAGGGUCUUCUGUAAAACAGAAAAGUGCACGAAGCUUCUCAAGCUUAGUAUUUGAACGGAAGAACUCAUUCAUGACAUUAUUAUCAGAGUAGAAUGUAAUCCUUCGCACCCUAGCAACAUUGCCGGGAUCACCAAAUGCAUUGUGCUCGGUGUGAAAGAAGUUGCUUUCCUUAGCCAAGUCAACACAUAAACUAUGUAACAAGUCAUGUAUGCGACAACUUGAAAUUCUUCCAUCAUAUGUCCUUUUGGCAACUUGAAUCAUGUUUCUUGAAACCAAAUCAUUUAGGACAUCAUCCGCCACACUUUCAGCCUCUCGCCCAUUGCCACUAUUUACAACUAUCAACUUCUCAGCAAUCCACAUAUUUGUCAAAUCAAAAGCACGAAUUUCAUGAUCCUCGGGGUAAAGGCCAAAAUACAAGAAACAUGGCCUUAAUGCAAUUGGCAAAUCAUUGUAACUCAGAGCCAAUACCUUAGCACAUCCAUCUUGAACUUUAUGGCUCAUACUCUCAAGUACUCUGUUCCAUGCACGUUCUGUUCUUUCUCUUGCCCUUAACAUGCCUGCGGUCACCUCAAUGGCUAGAGGUAUACCUCCACAUCUCCCAACUAUAUUUCUACCAAUAUCUACCAACUCUGGUGAAGCAUUGGCCCAAUUAUUAUUGUUAUCAAAAAUAAAGAUUUUCUUGGUAAAGAGUUCAAAACUGUUCUCCGAAUUUAGAGGUUGCAACACGUGAAUUGAGAAAUCCCCUCCUAUAUAUCUGACUACAUUACUAUUUCGAGAGGUUAUAAUUAUCCUACUGCCAAUUUUUGAAUCACAUUCAGGAAAGACAAGUUUUAGAUCAUCCCAAAUUUCAACAUCCCAAAUGUCAUCUAAGAGGAUAACAUACCUUUUUAUUUUCAAGAGUGACCGUAGGUUGUUCUCCAAGUUUUCUUUCCUUUCAUCUUCCGUCAGUCCAACUUGUUUGGCUAUGUCCUGUAAGAUUUCUCCCGCCCUUGGCUGUUGUGAAACGUAGACCAGUCCCCGAACACUCAAAUUGAUGACGGACAUGCCUAUAAAGUUUCUUGGCAAGAGUUGUUUUUCCCAAUCCGGGCAUGCCAACUAUUGAAACAACUCCAUAAGGCAAAUCUUGAUCAAGUAAUUUGGCUUGUAGCAUUUUGAAGUCAUCAUCCAAACCGAUGACCUCUGUUCAUCAGCAUGAAGGAAUAAUCUUCUCUUGGUCCAAUGGAAUGCAAUCAUCAUUAUUGUUGUUACUUGUAUCCAUGAUGUUGUAAGUUGUCCUUACACGGUCAAUAUCAGCAACUCUCUUUUUAUCUUCUCAAUCUCCAUAGCAAACUCAUCGGCAAAAGAAACCGUCUUAAGGCAACAAAUGAACUUAUUGGAUUGUUGAAUUUUUGGAAGAAACUCAUCUAAUAGAUCCUCCACAUCACCUGCCAGUUGUUGAAUAUCUUUUAAUAAGUUUUUGACCCUUGAAUCGCCUCCAACUUCCUUGGCCUUUGCAUCGUCUACAUAUGAUCGAAUGUGUCUCAUUUCUCUCUGGAGCCAAUCGAUGUCUUCUUUCAACCAAUAUAAACGCGUUCCUUGUUGAAAGAGUAGAUUUCCAGCUAUUUCUACAGAUUUAUUGAUGACUGCUGUAAGAAGAAUUUCAGCCAUUUCUUUUUCAGUAGCUACAAAAAACUGAUCAGAAUGAUUAAUUAGGAAAAGUAAGAAAAAGAAGAUCAGCUUAUACUAUAUAUUUGCUUUUGCUUUUUAGUGAUAGCUGGAGUCCAUGGCAAAGUCUCCUAAUAAUGUCAAGUAAAGGUGGGGCAGCUGCACACGAAUCAAAAAGGAGAAAUACAUUAUACUCUCAUCUUAUUAUAACAAUCAUUUUCGGUAACAAUAUAUUUUUUUUCUUUUUUUUAAAGAACUAUUGUUAUAUUAUAAGUGGUUUUUUUUAUAUAUACAUUAUACUAUAAACAUUUCAGGACAAACGACUUCCUUUAUAAAGGUUUGAUUGUAUGAGUACGUAGCAAAAAAAAUUUGAAAGCAUCAAAUCGCAUAAAAACCUAAAAAUUCAUGGAACAUACAAAUUGAGUCUUAUAAUAGCCCAAAUUGGGUAAAGUUUUGCAAGGGACGGACGGAAUAAUUUAUUUUCACUAUUCUACUGGCAUCUUAUCUACUGCAUGUGCGUCCUACUGUGGACUCCAACAAUAAAGCAAAUAGUUGAUCACUUCAGACUUAUUCCAUCAACUAUUUGAAUACAGUGAUAUUUCAAAAAGAAAAUAGUAAAUAAUUGAGAGAAGUAUUGAAAACGUACCCCUCUAAAUUUGGUGUCAAUUAUUAGUUUUAUCUUUGAACUAUUGACAAUUUUAAAAACAUAUUUUUACUUGACUAACUGAACUUACAAGUUACAUAUAGCCCAAUCUUGCAAUAUGAGUGAAAUACACCCUUAAAUUUUCGUCAAGUUUAGGAGUAUUUUAAUUUCAACACUUAUCUCGAUUUUUUAUUAAGAGUAUUAUGCUUCUAUAAGAGUUUGAGACCACUUGUCAUGUAACUGAUCGGGGCGUUCGGCGGUUUCGUUGCGCUGUAGUGGAUUUGAGUUAUAAAUCUUUAAGUAAAAGUAGCUAUACAUUAUGUAUCGAUCUACUAUUCAUUGUAAUUAAUUAGACAUGAACUAAGUAACAAACAAAAAUUAGUUUAUCGAGGAUAUUAAACGUAAAUAAUUAUAGUGGCCACUAACCUGUAGACACAUUGAUAUUAAACGUAAAUAUUCAAUGAAUUUUUAACAUAAAUAUAUGAUUUUAGCUAAUAUUAUUAAAUUUUAUUGAACACAUAGCUAGAAUUCUAACUUUGAUUGUGUGAGAUUUUUAGUUUUUGCAGAAUUUUUUAGCAAACAAAAGUCAUUAUUAGGAAGGCCAGCUCCUUAUGAUACCUUGUAAGAUGGAUUUUUUAAACUUUUAUGUUGAAAUCUUUUAUAGUUUGGGGAUGAAAUGUGUAGAAAUUUUAUUCUUUAAAGAUGUAUACCUUGUGUUUGACAUAAAUAAAACCAAAACACACAUAAACAAAAAAUUGAUUAAAGUAUACUUGUAUUUUUAUUUUUAUUUCAAAUUAUUGAAUGUUGGAGUUAUAAUCAGGAGUCUGGUCAUGACCAAUUCUACACCUUAAAAUGAAAUGUAAAUAUAGUCCUACAAAUUAUAAACUCAACAAAUAUUGGGGUCGAUUCCAUGAAGAGUGUGUGCAUGUGUCAAUGUGUCCAAAAGUGUGUAUUUGUGAAUUUCCUAAAUUUUGUGUGCGUGUGUAAUUAAACAAUUUAUUUACUACUAGUUCUAACUAUUCCCUCCAUUUCAUAUUAAUUUAAUUUUUAAGGUAUUUUUUAUUUUUUAAAUUAAUUUAAUUGUUCAGUUUUCAAAACUACUUUUAGAGUGUUCUUCCAAUUUUACCCUUCAUUAGUUAGUAUUGGAAUUAGCGAUUAAUUAAUAUUUAGUUAUUUUAAUCAUAAAUUUGAUAAUAAUUAAUAAGGGUAAAAAUAGAAAACUAUAUUCAAUUUAUGUCUUAAUCUACUUUUUUUAAAGGGUGUAAAACACCUCAAAAUUAAAUUAAUAUGAAAUGGAGGGAGUAUUUUGUAAUAAUCAAAUAUAAAUUAAAGCAAAAAAGAAAAAGAAAAAUAGUAGGUGUACCUGAUAGGUUGGAAUUUGGCUGAUGCAGUUCCUUGAUUGGAGUAAAUAUUAAUUAUAAGUGUUUUUUUUUUCAAAAGAUGGAAAUUGACAAAUUAACCAAGCACCUCAAUUCUAUUUAUAAGUAUCUUUUAAAAAAAUAUAUAUAUUAGUUCAAUACUUGAAUUGAAUGUGAGGGUAAGAUGGGUCAUAAUUUCCAAAUUAUUCUUUACUUGAAACAAUAUAUAGGCAUCUUACCUUUUUUCUCAUGAAAAAGCAAAAGGAAAGUAUAAUGUUGGAGAAUUAAAAAAAUAAUAAUCAUGUUUUCACUUUUGUCUGGAUGUAAAUGUUACAAAAGAAAUAAAUGAAUAUUUCAAACGGAAGUAUUUUUCGUGAAGAACUCUUUUUUUUCCACUUUAGUUGUAACUAUUCAUUCUAUAGUUCUAUUCCAUAUUAGUUGAUCAUUUUAUUAAAAAAUAUAAUUGUCCAUUUUUAUAAAUUAAGAAAGCAUUAAUUAAUUUUUUUCCUAUAUUAUUCAUGCAAUUAAUUCUUUUUUUAAAUGUUCAUAUUUGUUUGUUAAAUUUCCAAUAAAAAAUUUCAGAGAUGAAUCAAUAAACUGAACUUCUUAUUUAUGAUUUCUUGAUAUGCUUGUAAAAAGGAAAAUGAUCAACUGAGAUCGGGAGAGUAAUAAAAUAACUUGCAAUUCGCGUGAUAGUGAAGAAAAUUAUAUACAUUCCCUUUAUUAAAGAAAAUACUUUAAAAAGGAAAAGUAAUACUUUCAAUUAUUUUACAAAUAUAUUUUAUUAAAUAAUCUAUAAUAUACAAAAUAAAUAUUAUGAUUUUUAAUUGAGAAAGGUAACGAUCACCAAUAAUGAAGAAAAAAAGUACUACAAUUACUACUUGAGAAAUAUCAUUACACUAAUAAUAAAAAUAUGAUUUAAAGUAAAAAAGUUUCAAAAAAUAAUAAUAAUAUCUGAAGCCUACACGUGAAGUGAGGAAUCUCCUCCUAUGUAUCUGCCUACAUUACUAUUUCGAGAUGUGAUUAUUAUCCUACUGCCAAUUUUUGAGUCAGGAAGGAAAAAAUUCAGAUAAUUCCAAAUUUCAACAUCCCAAAUGUCAUCUAAGAGGAUAACACACCUUUUUCUUUGCAAGAGUGAGCUUAGGUUGCCUUCCAAGUUCUCUUUCCUUUCCUGUUCCGUCAGUCCAACUUGUUUGGCAAUGUCCUGUAAGAUUUCUCCUGCCCUUGCCUGCUGUGAAACAUAGACCAAUCCUGAACAUUCAAAUUGAUGACGGACAUGCCUAUAAAGUUUCUUGGCAAGAGUUGUUUUUCCUAAACCGGGCAUGCCAACUAUUGAAACAACUCCAUAAGGCAAAUCAUGAUCAAGUAAUUUGGCUUGUAGCUUAUUGAAGUCAUCAUCCAAACUGAUGACCUCUAUUUCAUCAGCAUGAAGGAAUAAUCUUCUCUGGUCCAACGGAAUGCAAUCAUUAUUGUUGUUACUUGUAUCCAUGAUGCAUGUUAUAAGUUGUCCUUACACGAUCAAUACCCGCAACCCUUCGGCAAAAGAAACUGUCUUAAAGCAACAAAUGAACUUAUUGGAUUGUUGAAUUUUUGGAAGGAACUCAUCAAAGAGAUCCUCCACAUCACUUGCGAGUUGUUGAAUAUCUUUUAAUAAAUUUUUGACCCUUGAAUCGCCUCCAACUUCCUUGGCCUUUGCAUCGUCCACAUAUGAUUGAAUGUGUCUCAUUUCUCUCUGGAGCCAAUCGAUGUCCUCUUUCAACCAAUAUAAACGCGUUCCUUCUUGCACGAGUAGAUUUCCAGCUAUUUCUACAGAUUUAUUGAUGACUGCUGUGAGAAGAAUUUCAGCCAUUUUUUGUCUUUCUUUUUCAGUAUCAACAAAAAACUGAGUAUGAGUAAUUAGGAAAAGUAGGAAAAAAAGACGAUCAGUAUACUGUUUGCUUUUGCAUUUUAGUGAUAGCUGGAGUCCUAAUAAUGCCAAGUAAAUGAUAAACAAAAGAAACAAGAAAGGUGGGGCAGCUGCACACUAAUGGAAAAGGAGAAAUACAUUAUACUCUCAUCUUACUAUUAUACUCUAACAAUCAUUCUUGAUAACAAUAUAAUUUUUUCCUUUUUAAAAAAACUAAUGUAAUAUUAUAGUGUAUUAUAAGUGUUUUUUUUUAAAUAUCGUGUAAUUGAUUAGUUAUACUAAGAUGUUUACUUAGUUAUGUAGUUUUUUCGGAAAAAAAAAGUAUAUUAUCAAUCGGCCACAAAAAAUAAAAAAACUUAAAUUGGGACGGGCGGAAUAAUUUCUUUUCACUAUUCUACUGACAUCUUAUCCACUGCAUGUGUUGUCCUUAUUGUGGACUCCAACAAUAAAGCAAAUAGUUUAUCACUUUAGACUUAUUCCAUCAACUAUUUGAAAUUUCAAUUCACAAUUUUUGAAUAAAGUGAUAUUUCAAAAAGAUAAUAAAUAAUUGAGAGAACUAUUGAAAACGUACCCCUCUAAAUUUGGUGUCAAUUAUUAGUUUCAUUUUUGAACUAUUGACAAUCUUAAAAACAUUAUUUUACUUGACUAAUUGAACUUACAUACACACCGAUCUUACAACGUGAGUGAAAUACACCCUUAAAUUUUCGUCAAGUUUAGGAGUAUUUUAAUUUCAACACUUAUCUCGACUUUUUAUUAAGAGCAUUAUGUUUCUAUAAGAGUUUGAGACCACUUGCUAUGUCAUGUGACUGAUCGGGGUGUUCAGCGGUUUAGUUAGUCAAGUAGAGGGAUGGUUUUUAGACUGUCAAUAAUUUGUAGAUGAAACUAAUAAUAUUUUUUUCGAAUUUAUACCACUAAACAAAGAGUCUAGCCAUUUUUCUAAUAAUGUGCACUAAGUUUAAGGUGUUUUUCUAUACUUCUCUCUAAAUAAUUUUCAUAAUCAAACAUGAUGUUAAAAUAACUUUCUCAAUCUUGACAAUUGCUUAUUUACAAACUAUUAUGAAUUCGCCACUAUGGUAGACACACUGCUACCAAAACAAGAGGAUGCAUGUUGUACAUUAAUUCCAAAAACACCCUCUUCAAAAAGCAAGGUACAACACCUCUAAGCAGUAAAAUUACUCUCGAGUCCCUUACUAUUUGGAGCUAUUAAGCACAUAUAUAUUUUUUUUCACUCUGAAAAAGUCGAAAUAUAUACCCUUUGUCCUUGUGAUUAGCUUCAUAAUGUUUCAGAUAAAUAUAGAAGCUAUAUUUAUUGUGUCGCGUAAUUUAUUACUCCCUCCAUCUCAAUUUAUGUGAGAUAGUUUGAUUUGGUACGAAGUUUAAGAAAGAAAUGAAGACUUUUAAAAUUUGUGGUUCAAAAUGAAUUAUAUAAAUUUGUGUGGCUGUAAAUCAUUUCAUUAACGGUAAAGUAGACAUUUCAUAGUUAAAUUGUUACUUACUCCCUCCGUCCCAUUUUAUGUGGCAACAUUUUGACCCCGGCACGGGAGUUUAAGAAAUAAAUGAAGACUUUGAAAUAUUUACCAAAUUGCCCUUUAAAAAGUAGACUCACUUUUCUCUCUCCUCAUAAAUGUAUUGGAGUAUUAUUUUAAGAUUAAGUGAGACCAACAAGGGUAAAAGAGGAGUUGUACCUUUAAAUACUUACCAUAUAAGGAAAUGUGACAUUCUUUUUGGGACUGACCAAAAAGGAAAUGGUGCCACAUAAAAUGGGACGGAGGGAGUAAUAUAAAAAUGUGUCAUUCUCUUUUGGACAGAUCAAAAAGGAAAGUAAGUCACAUAAAUUGAUAUGGAGGGAGUAUUUAUCCAUCCAUUAUUCUCAUAAAAAUAUAAUUUGUUUAAUAUUACUAAAUCAAAAAUAACUUUUAACGGCAAUAUAUAUAUAUACAACAUUAUCAUCUUAGAGCUAUUAGCAAAGAUCGUAGGAAAUAUGUGUUCAAUGUCAGCAAGACCUCUAUUAAUUAAACACAUUUGGAGAGAGAUGAACCAAUGUGCCGAUUUUCUGGCAAACGAAGAGCACAAGCAUAAUGAAAAUUUGAUAGUAGCCACUAACCUGUAGACACAUUGAUAUUAAACGUAAAUAUUCAAUGAAUUUUGAACAUAAAUAUUUGAUUUUAGCUAAAAUUAUUAAAUUUUAUUGAACACGUAGCUAGAAUUCUAACUUUGAUUGUGUGAGAUUUUUAGUUUUUGCAGAAUUUUUUAGCAAACAAAAGUGUCAUUAUAAGGAAGGCCAGCUGCUUAUGAUACCUUGUAAGAUGAAUUUUAAAAAAAAUUAUGUGGAAAUCUUUUAUAGUUUGGGGAUGAAAUGUGUAGAAAUUUUAAUUCUUUUAAAGAUGUAUACCUUGUGUUUGACAUAAAUAAAACCAAAACACAUAAAUAAAAAUUUGAUUAAAGUAUACUUGUAUUUUAUUUUUUUCAAAUUAUUGAAUGCUGGAGUUAUACUCUGGAGUUUGGUCAUGACCAAUUCUACACCUUAAAAUGAAAUGUAAAUACAGUCGUACCAAUUAUAAACCCAACAAAUAUUGGGGUCGAUUCCAUGAAGAGCGUGUGCAUGUGUCAAGGUGUCCAAAAGUGUGUAUUUGUAAAUUUUCUAACCUUGGACUUUUAUUGAUCCACACAGAAAAAAAAAAAACCCAAAACCCAAGAAUUGGGUCAAUAGUUUUUAAUGGUUUUAUAAAAAAAUUAUUGGAUUAUCGGUUCGGUUUUGACCUUUUAUAAUGGGUUAUUGGGUAUACUGAUAACCCAAUAAGAUUAUAGUAAUAUAGUACUUUACGCUUACAUAAAUAUUAAAUAUUAAUCUCAAUACCUUACUAGUUAGUACAUUUGUCCUAUAGCCUUAGCUUCAAACUUCAUAGUGACUUUGAGUUCAAAACUUCACAUUAUACAAAACGUCAAAAUAUAAAGUAAGAACAUUAUUCCUAUUAAUUUCUCUUUGUGUUACACUUGUAUAGUUCUCUCAAUGUUAAUUAUUAUUAUUUCUAUUUUAUGAGCAUUUGUUAGAGAAGUCAUAUAUUUAUUUUAUAAGCAUUUUCUUAUUGGUUAAACCAAUUGAUAGAUAAACCAUAACCAAAAACCGAUAAAAUGAAAUGACAAUACAUAAAAUUGACCCGAAUCGAUCGAUGCAAAGCCAUAACUUAUAUUGUAAACUUUGAUUCUUGAAGAAGAAAAUAAACUAAAGCUACUAAUUCCAAAGUAAAUAUACAUAAGACAAUAAAUAAAUCUUUUAUAAAUCACAAGCCACAAAUACGUCAACUUCAUGAAGCAAUCAAACAUUUAAUUUAUUUAUUUCAAAUACAAACAGGCAUCAGAAGAUGCUCUCCAGCAAAGACUUAAUCAUUCUCAAAUGCAUCUGCAAUUUAUUAGACAUAAAAUAUUAAGUUGAUGAAUUAAUUAAUAAAAAAUGAGCUUAUUCAGAGAUAUUAAAAGUAAAUAAUUAACCUGUUGACACAUUGGGAUUUUCAUACUCUCAGCUUUGCAAGACGUUCCGAGAGCCUAACGUCGGAAGUGGUAUCUAUACGUAAAAAUAGCUUUUUCAAUUUAGGCAUAAUCAUAUCAUCCCUGCAACUUACUUCAGACAACCCACAUGCAUACUCAAUAUGCAAAACUUCAAGUUGCGGAAAGCUAUCACCAUCACCACAGAGAUCCAUCUUUUCUUCAUUAUGUUUGCACCAAAGCAUUUUAAGUAUCCUUAAUUUGGGCAAUUUCUUAAGCACUGCCACUACAUGACCGUCUACCUCCAAGUUGUGAAGAGUAAGCUUGACAACAUUUGGAGGGAAUGCUUCACAGUUCAAGCGCAUUGUUCUGCAAAUUCUCAAAUGCAACUUAACAAUAUUUGGAUAGGACGACAAGUUUAUUUUCUCACUCAUCAUGUACCUCAAAAAUCUGAGCUUCAAAACCUCCAGCGCCUUUGGCACAGGGCUCAAUGUUGAUAAUAUCUUAACCGUAGAACCAUAUGAGCACUCUAUACCCAGUUUUCUUAUAUUGAUCAAUCGGUGCAACAAUCUCGGUUCAAAAAAAUUAUAAUCAUCCAUCCACAUCAAAGUUUGUAGAUUAUUAGGAGGCAAUGAUGAGUACACAUUUGGAAAAAAUGGGAUUAUAGAAAAGCAAUACAUACAUACUUUAUCGAAAGAUUUAUAACGAAGAUGUCUCAAUUGUGUAGACUUCAAAACACCAGUAGGAAGAUCAAUGAAGCUUUUACCAAUAUCUAGGGUCUCUAGAUGUUUGAGCUUCAACAUACAAUUCGGCAGUUUCCCAUAAAUAUCCCCCUCCAAUCGAAGAUAGCGUAAGCAACUCAUGUUUCCAAACGUGUUUGGGACACCACAACAAUCAUAAUAGGACAUGACUACAACCAACACUUGCAAUAAUUUGAAAUCAAGAUGAGCCAGUUGAGAAAAUAUGCAAGGGUCUGUUGUGAAACAGAAAAGUGCACGAAGCUUCUUAGGCUUAGGAUUUGAACGAAAGAACUCAUUCAUGGCAUUAUUAUCCGAGUAGAAUGUAAUUCUUCGCACCCUAGCAACAUUGCCGGGAUCACCAAAUGCAUUGUGCUCGGUGUGAAAGAAGCUACUUUCCUUAGCCAAGUCCACACACAAACUAUGUAACAAGUCAUGUAUGCGACAACUUGAAAUUCUUCCAUCAUAUGUCCUUUUGGCAACUUGAAUCAAGUUUCUAGAAACCAAAUCAUUUAGAAUAUCCUCAGCCAAACUUUCAGCCUCUCGCCCAUUGCCACUAUUUACAACUAUCAGCUUCUCAGCAAUCCACAUAUUUGUCAAAUCAAAAACACGAAUUUCAUGGUCCUCGGGGAAAAGGCCAAAGUACAAGAAACAUGGCCUUAAUGCAAUGGGCAAAUCAUUGUAACUCAGAGCCAAUACCUUAGCACAUCCAUCUUGAACUUUAUGGCUCAUACUCUCAAGUAACCUGUUCCAUGCAUGUUCCGUUCUUUCUCUUGCCCUUAGCAUGCCUGCAGUCACCACAAUGGCUAGUGGUAUACCUCCACAUCUACCAACUAUACUUCUACCAAUAUUUACCAAGUCAGGUGAAGCAUUAGCCCAAUUAUUAUUAUCAAAAUUAAAGAUUUUCUUGCUAAAGAGUUCAAAACUGUUAUCUGAAUCUAGGGGUUGCAACACACAGAGUGAGGAAUGUCCUCCUAUGUAUCUUCCUACGUUACUAUUUCGAGAUGUGAUAAUUAUCCUACUGCCAAUUUUUGAAUCAUAUUCAGGAAGAACAAGUUUUAGAUAAUUCCAAAUUUCAACAUCCCAAAUAUCAUCUAAGAGGAUAACAUACCUUUUUCUUUUCAAGAGUGAUCGUAGGUUGUUCUCCAAGUUUUCUUUCCUUUCCUCUUCCGUCAGUCCAACUUGUUUGGCUAUGUCAUGUAAGAUUCCUCCCACCCUUGGCUGUUGUGAAACAUAGACCAGUCCAGAACACUCAAAUUGAUCACGAACAUGCCUAUAGAGUUUCUUGGCAAGAGUUGUUUUUCCUAGACCGGGCAUGCCAACUAUUGAAACAACUCCAUAAGGCAAAUCAUGAUCAAGUAAUUUGGCUUGUAGCUUAUUGAAGUCAUCAUCCAAACCGAUGACCUCUGUUUCAUCAGCAUGAAGGAAUAAUCCUCUCUGGUCCAAUGGAAUGUAGUCAUGCUGAUUGUUGUUGUUACUUGUAUCAGUGAUACCAUAAGUUGUUCUCAAGCGAUCAAUCUCAGCAACUCUUCUUUUUAUUUUUUCAAUCUCUGCGACAAACUUGUUGGCAGAAGAAACAUUACAAACGCGACAACCAAUUGUUCCUUUGCGUUCAAUUUUGGGAAGGAAUUCAUCUAAGAUGUCAUCUGCAUCAUCCGCAAGUUGUUCAAUAUACUUUAUCAAGUUUUUGACCCUUGAAUCUCCUUGAGUUAAUUUGGCCCUUGCAUCAAUAAUGUAAGACUGAAUUUGCACCAUUUCUGUUUUGAGCCAAUUCAUGCUCUCUUCUAAUGAAUUCAAGUUUGACCAUUUUUCAAGGAGUAGAUUUCCAGCUGCUUCUGUUGCUUUGGUGAUAACUGCAGAAAGAACAAUUUCUCCCAUCUUUUGUUUUUUUCUUUUCUAUCUGUUUCAAUAAAAAGGAAGAAUUCCAAUUUUCGAGACUCAAAAACUGCAUAUUUUUACUAUAACAGUUUUGAAGAAAAACAAUUUGUGUUCUAUCAUUCAUUUGAGAAUUGCUUUUUUCAAUAAUUAAUAAGUAGAUUGUGUUUGACCAAACUUUCAGAAAAGUCUAGCUUGUUCUAGAUUGGUUUUUAAAAAUAUUUGGUUUAUUUUAUUUAGUACAAAAUAUUAUAUACAUAUUUUUUUUUUAUAAUUAUAUAUAACAUAAUAUGUUGUUUUAUGAAUAAGUUUAAAUAUCUAUAUGUUUUCAUUAGAAUUUAUUCAGAAGAGGGUAAAUUUUUUUAUCUUUUAAAUAAUAUAUAUUUCUUUACUUAAUGGGUAAUGUCAUUUUCCUAAUAAUAAUAUUAUUUCUUUACUUUAUCAACACAUUCUACUCCUCAUAAAAAUAUUACUUUUAAAGAACCAUAUUCUUGCUUUUUUUUCUAAUAACUUUAAUUAAUAAAUAAGUAGGAAAGAAUUGUUUUUUCUUUUUAAUUUUAUUUUAUCAAUUAAAAUAGAAUAAGUCUAUGCAUAUUUUUAAACAAUACUAUAGGUCAUAUGUAUGAGAUCAUAGUAAUCAAAUCAUUAAUUUUUCUUUGGUUAACAUUCAAAAAAUUCUAAUAAAAUAGGAAAUAUUUUUUAUUUCUUAAUCUUUUUCGAAUUAAAGUAUGUUAAUCAUUUGCUAUAAAAAGUUGUUAUUAUUAUUAAAAGAAGGGAAAAUGGUCAAAAAUGUCCUUAAACUAUGUGAAAUGAACAAAAAUGCCUUCUGUUUAUGAUUUGAUCCAAAAAUGCCAUUGUCGUCAAUACUUUAGUCCAAAAAUGCCCUCAUUGUAAUUUCAUGGAUCAAAAAUGCUCAUUUUCCAAAUAAAUAUAUCAUUUAUUUUCUUUUUAACCCAAUUUUUUUAAAUAAUAUUUUAAAAAAAAUUAGCAAAUGUUUAUCCUACGUUAAUUCAGAAAAAAAUAAAAAAUAAAAAUAUUUCUUAUUUUAUUAUAAUUAUUUUUUAUCGUUAUAUAAAUAAAAAUUAAUGAUGGAUAUACUAUGAUCUUAUAUAUAUGGAAUAUGUUAUUCGUCGAAAGGGUACAUGAAGUUAUUCUAUUUUAAUUGAUAAAAUGAGAUUAAGAAGAAAAAAAUAAUUUCCUACAUAUUUAUUUGUUAAAGUGAUUUUAAAAGAAAGAAAAUAAGAAUAUGAGUCUUGAAUAAUAUUUUAAUUAGGAAGAAGAUGUGUUUAAAAGAAAAAGUAUAAUAUAUAUUUAUUCAAAAAAGGGCAUUUUUGACUCAUUUAGUAACUAUAGGGGCAUUUAAUUUCUAGACCAAAGUAUUGACGACAAGGACAUUUUUGAACCAAAGUAUUGACGGCAACGACAAUUUUGAGUCAAAUUAUAAACGAAUGGUAUUUUUAAUCACUUCACAUAGUUUAAGGACAUUUUUUUACUAUUUUCCCUUAAAAUAAUGCGUUUAUAAAGAAAAUAAUUAAUUUUUGUUUUCUAAUUGAAGUAGAAUAACCAUUUUCUAUAUUAAAAAAAUGAAUAAUAUAUUUACUUGGACCAUCAAUGACUUAUUUGGAAUAAAUUAUUAAUUUAGGGUAUUUUUGUUCAAUUUCGGACUAUUUAAUGACAUUUGUUAAGCCUUAAGAAUGUCUGUUUGAUACAUUAAUGAGGGUUGCUUAUUGAACGGAUAAAGUUACACUCAACGGUUUGACUUAUUUAACAACUUUAAAUGUACUAAUAUGCUAGCUUAUUAUCAAUAAAAUAUCGGUUGAAUCCAUCGGUGACCUCCUAAAGUUGGCACCAACGUUUCACUUAGCACCUCAACUAAGCUUUGUUCAUUUUAGACACUUCAUGUCGUGUCCCGUUGUGUUAAUUUUUAUAAGUUAUUUUUUAAACUACAUAGACACUUUUGAUAAGUUUUUUUUUAAACUACAUAGACACACUAACUGAACAAAAUUGUAUUAUUUAUAGUGAACAAAGCAUCUGACAAUAAACCAAGUCAAUUCUUUAUACCCAAGUGUGAUUAACUUCAUCGAGUGUUAAUCUGAUAGCACAAUAUCAAUAAGUUAAUUUUGUGGUUGAGUUAUCGCAUACAUUUCAAUCUUGAACCAUAUUCUUAUUUUCUUAAAGAAUCAUAUUCUUAUUUUUUUCCCUAAUAACUUUAAUUAAUAAAUAAGUAGAAAGAAUUAUUUUUUCUUCUUAAUAUCAUUUUAUCAAUUAAAAUAAAAUAACUCUACAUAUCUCUUUAACUGAUAAUAUUGAUCAUACAUAUAAGAGAAUAGUAAUCCAAUCAUUAAUUUUCAUUUGGAUAACAAUAAAAAAAUAAUCUAAAGAUGAUAGAAAACUAAAAAAUAUGCCUUUCAUAUAUUAAUGUUACCAACUUUCACACAAGAAUUACCAUUUAAAAAAAAUGAAAUAUUGAAUGAUUCAGAUCUCAAUUAUUAAAUGAGUGACUUUAAUCUUUCAUGAUAAUUUCCCCAUUUUCUUCCUUCCCUCGAUAUAAUUUUGUGUGCUUGUGUUAUUAAACAAUUUAUUUACUACUAGUUCUAACUAUUUUGUAAUAAUCAAAUAUAAAUUAAAGCUUAAAAAAAAGAAAGUAGGUGUACCUGAUAGGUUGGAAUUUGGCUGAUGCAGUUCCUUGAUUGGAGUAAAUAUUAAUUAUAAGUGUGUUUUUUCAAAAGAUGGAAAUUGACAAAUUAACCAAGCACUUCAAUUCUAUUUAUAAGUAUAUUUUUUUUAAAAUAAAAAUAAAAUUUAGUUCAAUACUUGACUUGAAUGUGAGGGUAAGAUGGGUCAUAAUUUCCAAUUUAUUCUUUACUUAAACCAUAUAUAGGCAUCUUACCUUUUUUCUCAUGAAAAAGCAAAAGGAAAGUAUAAUGUUGGAGAAUUAAAAAAAUAAUAAUCAUAUUUUUACUUUUGUCUGGAUGUAAAUGUUACAAAAAGAUAAAUGAAUAUUUCAAACGGAAGUAUUUUUCGUGAAGAACUCUUUUUUUCAUUUUAGUUGUAACUAUUCAUUCCGUAGUUCUGUUUAAUAUUAGUUGAUCAUUUUAUUAAAAAUAUAUAGUUGUCCAUCUUUCUAAAUGAAGAAAACAUUAAUAAUUUUUUUUCUAUAUUAUCCAUGCAAUUAAUUCUUUUUUAAAGUGCUCACAUUUGUUUAUUAAAUUUUCAAACUUUUUUUAAGGGAUGAAUUAAUAAAAUUAACUUCUUAUUUAAGAUACUUAAUAUUCUUGUAAAAAAACGAAAAUGAUCAACUGAGAUCGGGAGAGUAAUAAAACAACUUGCACUUCGCGUGACAGUGAAGAAAAUUAUAUACAUCCCCUUUAUUAAAAGAGAAUACUUUUUCUCAUCUUAAACCUAUUAACUGUCACAAAUAAUUAUUAGCCAUAUAUUGAGAAGUUAAUGUUUUUGACGAUUAACAGUAGAAAUAAUUUGUAAAUUGUGAGCUAUAUAUAUAUAUAUAUAUAUAUAUAUGUAUAUAUCAAUUGUCUACUUGCACUUGCUAGAACAGGUAAUUUUUAUUAGGGGUAAAAAAAUUGAAUCGGAAAAAGUGCAAUUAAUUUAUUGCUAUUGGGCUAUUGGGUCAACAAUUUUUAAUGAUUUUAUAAAAAAAAAAUUUAUUGGAUUAUCGGUUUGGUUUUGACUUUUUAUAUUGAGUUAUUGGGUAUACUGAUAACCCGAUAAGAUUAUAGUAAUAUAGUACUUUAUCUGUACAUAAAUAUUAAAUAUUAAUCUCAAUAACAAAACGUCAAAAAAUAAAGUAAGAACACUAUUCCUAUUAAUUUCUCUUUGUGUUACACUUGUAUAAUUUUUUUCAUAUUAGUUACUAUUAUUGUUUCUAUUUUAUGAACAUUUGUAAAGUUACGUUAUUAUCUUGUCAUGUUAAAUUGUUAGAGAAGUCAUAUAUUUGUUUUAAAAACAUUUUCUUAUUGGUUAAAUUAAUUGACCGAUAAACCAUAACCAAAAACCGAUAAACUAAAAUGACAAUACAUAAAAUCGAUCCGAACCGAUCGAUGCAAAGCCAUAACUUAUAUUAUGAACUUUGAUUCUUGAAGAAGAAAAUAAUUAAAGCUACUAAUUCCAAAGUAAAUAUGCAUUAGACAAUAAAUAAAUCUUUUAUAAAUCACAAGCCACAAAUACAUCAACUUGAGAAAGCAAUCAAACAUUUUAUUUAUUUAUUUCAAAUACAAACAGGCAUAGAAGAUGCUCUCCAGCAAAGACUUAAUCAUUCUGAAAUGCAUCUGCAAUUUAUUAGACAAACAAAUAAUAAGUUGAUGAAUUAAAUACAAAUUAGCUUAUUUUGAGAUAUUAAAAGUAAAUAACUAACCUGUUGACAGUUGACACAUUGGGAUUUUCAUAUUCUCAGCUUUGCAAGUUUUUCCGAGAGCCUAACGUUGGAAUCAGUUCUUUCUAUAAGUAAUAGCUUUUUCAAUUUAGGCAUACUGACAACAUCCCUGCACGUUACUUCAUACAACCCAUUUGAUUCUUGAAUAUGCAAAACUUCAAGUUGCAGAAAGCUAUCACCAUCACCAGAGAGAUCCAUUUUUUCUUCCAUAUGGUUGCACCGAUACAUUUUAAGUAUCCUUAAUUUGGGCAAUUUCUUAAGCACUGCCUCUACAUGACCGUCUACCAUCAACCUAAUAAGAGUAAGCUUGACAAGAUUUGGAGGGAAUGCUUCAGAGUUCAAGGGCAUUCUUCCGUUCAAAUGCAACUUAACAAUAUUUGGAUACGACGACAAGUUUAUUUGCUCACUCGUGUCCCUGAAAAAGUAGAGCUUCAGAACCUCCAGCGUUGUUGCCACAGGGCUCAAUGCUGAUAAUAUCUUAACUGUAGAAUCAGAUCCACUCAAUAUACCCAGUUUUCUUAAAUUGACAAAUCGGUGCACCAAUCUCAGUUCAAAAAAAUUAUCAUACAUCCACAUCAAAGUUUGUAGAUUAUUAGGAGGCAAUGAGUACACGUUUGAGAAAACUGGGUUUAAAGAUAAGCAACUGUCAGAUACUUGAUUGAAACCUUUAUAACGAAGAUGUCUCAAUUGUGUAGUCUUCCAAUCACCAGUAGGAAGUUCAGUGAAGCUAUUACCAAUAUCUAUGGUCUCUAGACGUUUGAGCUUCACCAUACAAUUUGGCAGUUUCCCAUACAUAUCCCCCUCGAAUCGCAGAUAGCGUAAGCAACUCAUGUUCCCAAAUGUGUUUGGGAUUCUGACACCAUAAAAAUCAUCAAUAAAGAUGACUACAACCAACACUUGCAAUAAUUUGAAAUUAAGAUGAGCCAUAUGAGAAAAUAUGCAACUGUCAUUUAUGAAACAGAAAAGUGCACGAAGCUUCCUAGGCUUAGGAUUUGAACGGAAGAACUCAUUCAUGGCAUUAUUAUUAGAGUAGAAUGUAAUCCUUCGCACCUUAGCAACAUUGUCGGGAUCACCAAAUGCAUUGUGCUCAGUGUGAAAGAAAUUACUUUCCUUAGCCAAGUCAACACACAAACUAUGUAACAAGUCAUGUAUGCGACAACUUGAAAUUCUUCCAUCAUAUGUCCUUUUGGCAACUUGAAUCAAGUGUCUAGAAACCAAAUCAUUUAGGAUAUCCUCCGCCAAACUUUCAGCCUCUCGCCUAUUAUCACUAUUUACAACUAUCAACUUCUCAGCAAUCCACAUAUUUAUCAAAUCAAAAGCACGAAUUUCAUGGUCCUCGGGGAAAAGGCCAAAGUACAAGAAACAUGGCCUUGAUGCAAUGGGCAAAUCAUUGUAACUCAGAGACAAUACCUCAGCACAUCCAUCCUGAAUAUUAUGACCUAUACGCUCAAGCACUCUGUUCCAUGCAUGUUCUGUUCUUUCUCUUGCCCUUAACACGCCUGCUGUCACAACAAUGGCUAAUGGUAUACCUCCGCAUCUCUGAACUAUACUUUUACCAAUAUCUACCAAGAAAGGUGAAGCAUUGACCCAAUUAUUAUUAUUAUCAAAAAUAAAGAUUUUCUUGGUAAAGAGUUCAAAACUUUUCUCUGAAUCUAAGGGUUGCAACUCGUGGAGAGAGAAAUCCUCUCCUAUGUAUCUGCCUACAUGAUCAUAUCGAGAAGUGAUAAUUAUCCUACUGCCAAUUUUUGAAUCACAUUCAGGACGAAGGACACGGUUCAGAGCAUCCCAAAUUUUAGUAUCCCAAAUGUCAUCUAAGAGAAUAACAUACCUUUUUGUUUCCAAAAGUGAUCGUAGAUUGUCCUCCAAGUGUUCUUUCCUUUCCUCCUCCGUCAGUCCAACUUGCUUGGCUAUGUCAAGUAAGAUUUCUCCUGCUCUUGGCUGUUGUGAAACGUAGACCAGUGCAGAACACUCAAAUUGUUGACGGACAUGCCUAUAAAGUUUCUUGGCAAGAGUUGUUUUUCCUAGACCGGGCAUGCCAACUAUUGAAACAACUCCAUUACACAAAUCUUGAACAAGCAAUUUGUCUUGGAGCUUAUUGAAGUCAUCAUCCAAACCGAUGACCUCUGUUUCAUCAGCAUGAAGGAAUUUUCUUCUCUGUUCCAUUGGAAUGCAAUCAUUAUUGUUGUUACUUGUGUCUGUGAUGUUGAAAGUUGUCCUUAAACUAUCAAUGUCAGCAACCCUUCUUCUUAUCUUCUCAAUCUCCAUAGCAAACUCAUCGGCAAAAGAAACCGUCUUAAGGCAACAAAUUGCGCCUUUGAACUUAUUGGAUUGUUGGAUUUUUGGAAGAAACUCAUCUAAGAGAUCCUCUACAUCACCUGCCAAUUCUUGAAUAUCUUUUAAUAAGUUUUUGACCCUUGAAUCGCCUCCAACUUCCUUGGCCUUUGCAUCGUCUACAUAUGAUCGAAUGUGUCUCAGUACUCUCUGGAGCCAAUCGAUGUCCUCUUUCAAAAAAUUCAAGCGGCUCCCUUCUUGAAAGAGUAGAUUUGCAGCUAUUUCUACAGAUUUAUUGAUGACUGCUGUAAGAAGAAUUUCAGCCAUCUCCUUUAAUUUUUCGUUAAAUUUCUUUUUUCUAAAUGUGAGGAUGAGGAAGGGAAAGUAAGAGAAAAAGGAUAAAGAAAGAUGUACUAUUUGCUUUAGUGUUGGAGUCAACGGCCCAAGUCUUGUAAACACAAUAAUUCAUCUUUUGUUAAUCAUGUUAGCUGGUAUUUCGUUUUCAAGCAUGAAUAACAAACGUUGAAAGUUAGAAUAUUCAGGCAGUACUACGCGUAAAACGAAAUUAGAAAGAAGGAGAUAAUUGGUAAAGGAAAAGAAAGGUCAGCUUAGAAUAGUUGGAGUCCACUGCCAAGUCUCCUAAUAAUGUCAAGUAAAAGAAAAACGAAAGAACAAAGGAACAACACAUGCUGUGGAUAAGAUACUAGUAGAAUAGUCAAAAGAAAUUACACCGUUCGUCCCAAUUUAAGUGUCAUUCAAUUAAAUUCGACAUGAAAUUUAAGAAACAAACAGUAACUUUUAAUAUUUUGUGGCUGAUGAUUGAUAAUGUACCUUUUUUUGAAAAAAUUAUGUAACUAAGCAAACAUCUUUAGUAUAUAACUAUCAAUCACACCAUAUGUUUAAAAAAAAUUAUUAUAUAUUUAGACGCCAUUUUAUGUUUCCUAACUGUUUGAUGAACGUCUUGCAAAACUUUACCCAAUUUGGUUCAUGGCUGUGAGUUUGGGCUAUUAUGAGACUCAAUUUGUAUGUUCCAUGAAAUUAAAUUAGGCUUUUAUGCAAUUUGAUUCUCUCAAAAUCUUUUGCCAUACUCAUACAGAGUGGGCGUUCGGUUCGAUAUUUAUUUAACUUUGAUUUGAUUUGAUCGUGAGACAUCAUCAUAAUGAUUCGAGUAGAAUGGUCGGAAUUUCUUCACUUUUUUGGUAAGGAGUGUUCUGUUCUAAAUUUUACUGAUUCGACUAAUUCAAAUUUGUAUCACAUAAUACCGAUUUAAGAAAGAAAUACUUUUUAUCAAAAAAAAAUCAUUUUCAAAGCUCGAAUUGAUUUUUUGUUGGUUUCAUUAUGUGUAAUCUUCAAGUCCUUGUGGUAUCACAACACAAGUUAGGAUAUUUGGAGGUUAUUUCACAAGAACUUACAACAAGAAAAGGAAAAACAAAGAUAUAAUUUGAGGAAAUAUGAAAGUCUUGCAUUAAAGUUAAAAAAAAGUAGUAGUUGUUUGCUCGUGAAAUUCAAAUAUUUUUCACUAAAAUUUAUAGAAUUGAAAUUGAAAAUAGAGUUGGGUUUAAAUUAUUUUUUUAUUGCGAAUGAAACAACCGAACGAUUGGAGAUUGGAGAAUUUUACCAUCAAACUACUUUUGAAAUAAAGUGAAAAAUUAUUUCAAAAAAAAAUAUAAAUAAUUCACAUAACAUCCUAAAAUAGCUUUCUCAAUCUCAACAAUUGCUCAUUUAUAAACUACGGAAAAAGGUCAAAACUGCCCUUGCACUAUGUGAAAUAGACCACUUAUACCCUCCGUUACAUUUUACGAUAAAAAAUGCCCGUUGUUAUCCUAAGAGACCACAAUUACCCUUAAAACUUAACAGAAAUGAUACAUGACACUAAUUCCACCACCUAGGCCUGCCAACUAGGAUACUCACUAAAUAUUUUGACCCAAUUAAUAAUUCAACCCUAACCCAUUUUUAUUGGACCCAAUCCACUAAAAUUAAGAGGGAAACAUCAUCUUUUUUUCACCUCAUUCCGUUUUACUAUUAAAUUCACCAAGGACGAUUUUUUGAAGACUUUUACGAGCUUAGCUUACUUGGACCAUGAUUGUGUGCCGCCAUAGAUUUAAAAACUAUGCUCUGGCACCAUUCUAUGCUUAGAAAGCUUGGGCUUGUGUUUUAUGUGGCUUUCCAAAAAAAUUUUGAGAAGCUCCACUUUUGUGAUGAUUAUACCCCACAACCACAAGUUUCUACGUUUUUAGCUUGUCGUCUAGCGGAUUAGCACUACGACAAAUAUAGGAGGGUGAUUGAUAAAAUGUGAAUACAAGAUUAUAAACAUGUAGGGGCAUAUCAAUGUUGCAUCCAUUUGUCUCUUACAGUGAUGAAUUUCAAUGAUUUUGGUUAUAAAGUAUAACACCAUAGAACCAUAAAGUUAAAUUUUCAAGCUUAUGUAUCUUUUCUAGUCCAUUGUGUCAUUAGAUUUUAAAGCUAGCAUUCCUAAGGUAGAGAUGUAAGGUAAACAAAAUAUUUUGCAGGCAAGAGAAACAAAUUAUAUAAAAAUCUUUUGCUUCCCCUGCUUAUUUACAACUAAUUUAUCAAUGAGUUAUUACUUUAAUUUCUUCCCUGGUUUUUUAUAACUUCAUCAAUGUACAUAUAUAUAUAUAUACUUUUGCCUUCAUAAACUUUGGGAGGUUUACAACUCCUUAAAAAAACAGCAAAUUGUUGUACCUUCUCCUCGUUAAUUCUGGCGCAACAUUUAAUACUGGGUUUGAAACAGAACAUGUGGACUGCAGAUGGAACGGUUAGUUCAACCUCAUGGCUACAACCAAGCUUGAAGUAUAUAGAAGGUUUUGUCCUUACGAUUUGGACAAUAUUCAAAACUUUCAAAAUCUUUCAUCAUGACAAAACAUUAAGGAGUGAGUACGUUCUGGUUGUUGGCAUGUGAUUAAGAGGUUAGUAUGGAUCGAGUUUUGAAAAUAGACUCUUAUAAAAAAUACUAAUAAAAUUACAUAUAAUAGAUUCUUGUGAUCCAUCUCUUCUUUGGACUCCGCAUAUAACCGGAAUUUAGUACACAUGGUUAAUAAGUUAUUUAUUUUUUUAUUAUCUUUUUGCAUAAUUGAGAUGCCACUUUUGCUCAUUUUAUAUUCCCUGCUAGUAGAAUUUAAGAAGGUUUACAUGAUUUAUCCACUCUUACAAUCCUAUAUUUCAAGACCUGUAUUAUUUUUAUUGACUAAACAUGGAUAAUGAUAACUACUGUCAAUACUAAUAAAAAUGUUUUCCACGUUAGAGUUGUGGGUUCGAGAAUAGCAGGCUUUAAAUUUGGUAGUUGGAGAAAUGCAUUGCAAGUUAUUUAUAAUGUGGUUCUAUCGUCUACAUUGAGGUGUGAAUAAUUUUGCAAUAAAUUAUUCUAUCCGUUUAUUUUAACUUAUUACAUUUCGUUUUGAGAUUCAAACUAUAUGAAUUUGGAUCAAUAUUUUAAGAUGAAUAAUUUUGCAAUAAAUUAUUACAUCCGUUUAUUUCAACUUAUUACGUUUCAUUUUUUGAGAGUCAAACUAUAUGAACUUUGAUUAACAUUUUAAGAUGAAUAUUUUUGCAAUUAAUUAUUCUAUCCUUUUAUUUUAACUUAUUACGUUUCGUUUUUUGAGAGUUAAAUGAUAUAUAUAUGAACUUUGAGAUGUAUUUUUUCAUCAUAUUAAUAUGAGAAAGAUUGAUCAUAUAUAGUUUUUAAAUAUUUAAAUUUAAAAUUUAAAAUAUUGAGUGAAUUUUAUUCAAUUUGACUCUCAAAGUUAAUCAAAUUAACUCUCAUGAAACAUGACAAAUAAAUCCAUUUUCUUGGUUUUCCACCCGGUACUCACAUCCAAAUCGUUCCACGCAUAUUCAGAAUUAUGGAGUAUUAAAUGAAAUAUUUAGUUCAUGAACUAACUAGUACAAAUUUUUUAAAAUCACCUUAUCGAGCAUAUUAAAUGUAAAUAGUUAACGCAGUAAACUAACCUGUGAGAUUUUCAUAUUCUCAGCUUUGCAAGCCGUUUGGAAAGACUUAUUAGGGAACGGAGUCUUACAAGUAAUAGCAAUAUUACCGAGAUCACCAAAUGCAUUGUGCUCGGUGUGAGAGGUUGCAUGAAAUUUCUUUGUCUAGCUUUUCUCAUUGGAACACCUUUUACGAUCAGAAGAUUCUCUCCAACACAGACUUAAAUCAUUUUCAAAGGCAUCCCUGCAAUUUAUUAGAGAUGGAAUAUUUAGUUGAUGAACUAAAUACAAAUUUCAAAAAAUCAUGGAUAUUAAACGUAAAUAAUUAUUUAUAGUACCUGUGAGAUUUUUAUAUUCUCAACAUUGCAAGCCGUUCCGAGACCCUGAGACUAAUUGGGGAAUAAAUGAUUGGGCCUUGUACAAGUAAUAGCUUUUUCAAUUUAGGCAUACUCAUAUCAUCCAUGCACGUUAUUUCAGACAACCCGCGUGCAUCCUCAAUAUGCAGAACUUCAAGUUGCGGAAAGCUAUCACCAGAGAGAUCCAUUUUUUCUGCAUCAUGGCUGCACCUAAGCAAUGUAAGUAUCCUUAAUUUGGGCAAUUUCUUAAGCACUGCCAAUAGAUGACCGUCUACCAUCAAGCCGACAAGAUUAAGCUUGACAAGAUUUGGAGGGAAUGCUUCAAUGUUCAAGAGCAUUGCUGAGAAACCAAACAAACCCAACUCGACAAUAUUUGGAUGGGACGACAAGUUUAUUUGCUCACUCGUGUUCUUGAAAAUUCUGAGCUUCAGAACCUCCAACGCUUUAGGCACAGGGCUCAAUGCUGAUAAUAUCUUAAUGGUAGAACCGGAUACAUCCUUUAUACACAAUGUUCUUAAAUUUAUCAAUCGGUGCAACAAUCUCGGUUCACAAAAUUUAUCAUCCACCCACAUCAAAGUUUGUAGAUUAUUACGAGGCAAUGAGUACACGUUUGGAAAAAAUGGGUUUAUACAAAAGUAAUUGUAAGGUGCUAGAUUAUAACCUAUAGAACGAAGAUGUCUCAAUUGUGUAGACUUCCAAACACCAGUAGGAAGUUUAAUAAAGAAGCUUUUACCAAUAUCUAGGGUCUCUAGAUGUUUGAGCUUCACCAUACAAUUUGGCAGUUUCCCAUCAGGGUCUCUAGACAUUUGAGCUUGACAAUACUAUUUGGCAAUUUUACUCUAAUUCUCCCCUCCAAUCGCACAUAGCGUAGGCAACUCAUGUUCCCAAUUUUGUUUGGGAUAGUAAUUACAUGCUGAUAACGAUCUCGAGACGUGACUACAACCAACACUUGCAAUAAUUUGAAAUCAAGAUGAGCCAGUUGAGAAAAUAUGCAAGGGUCUUCUGUAAAACAGAAAAGUGCACGAAGCUUCUCAAGCUUAGUAUUUGAACGGAAGAACUCAUUCAUGGCAUUAUUAUCAGAGUAGAAUGUAAUCCUUCGCACCCUAGCAACAUUGCUGGGAUCACCAAAUGCAUUGUGCUCGGUGUGAAAGAAGUUACUUUCCUUAGCCAAAUCCACACACAAACUAUGUAACAAGUCAUGUAUGCGACAACUUGAAAUUCUUCCAUCAUAUGUCCUUUCGACAACUUGAAUCAAGUUUCUAGAAACCAAAUCAUUUAGGAUAUCCUCUGCCAAACUUUCAGCCUCUCGCCUAUCACCACUAUAGUUUACAACUAUCAACUUCUCAGCAAUCCACAUAUUUGUCAGAUCAAAAGCACGAAUUUCAUGGUCCUCGGGGUAAAGGCCAAAAUACAAGAAACAUGGCCUUAAUGCAAUUGGCAAAUCAUUGUAACUCAGAGCCAAUACCUUAGCACAUCCAUCUUGAAUUUUAUGACCCAUACUCUCAAGUACUCUGUUCCAUGCACGUUCUGUUCUUUCUCUUGCCCUUAACAUGCCUGCGGUCACCUCAAUGGCUAGAGGUAUACCUCCACAUCUUCCAACUAUACUUCUACCAAUAUCUACCAAGUCUGGUGAAGCAUUGGCCCAAUUAUUAUUGUUAUCAAAAGUAAAGAUUUUCUUGGUAAAGAGUUCAAAACUGUUUUCCGAAUCUAGAGGUUGCAACACGUGUAUUGAGAAAUCCCCUCCUAUGUAUCUGCCUACAUUACUAUUUCGAGAGGUUAUAAUUAUCCUACUGCCAAUUUUUGAAUCACAUUCAGGAAGGACAAGUUUUAGAUCAUCCCAAAUUUCAACAUCCCAAAUGUCAUCUAAGAGAAUAACAUACCUUUUUAUUUUCAAGAGUGAUCGUAGGUUGUUCUCCAAGUUUUCUUUCCUUUCCUCUUCCAUCAGUCCAACUUGUU
RNAcentral lists this long non-coding RNA (53530 nucleotides) under Solanum tuberosum (potato). RNAcentral's name for it is "long non-coding RNA (STUB_LNC009467)". The stretch from base 6294 to 6341 matches the Rfam family "MIR8032 microRNA precursor family". Lineage: Eukaryota; Viridiplantae; Streptophyta; Magnoliopsida; Solanales; Solanaceae. The record is from RNAcentral.